UCUACAAAAAUCAAACCAUAUUUUGCGGAAGAUGAGCUCAAUGACCUCAUGGGCGCGCUCUGGUAUAAACUCACAAAUAGUUUAACAAGUGUGUGCUGUGUGCGUGUGUUUAUAUUAUCAUUAAGUUUAUUUGCUGUUUUAACUUUUGCAGGCCAACAUGGGAAAACAAGAAGGAUCAUAUCUAUGCAAACCAUUUGGUAGCAAUGAAACGAGACUUCUAUUUCCAUCGAAUCGUGAUGAGCUCAAGAGAAGUGGCGAAAAAGGCUUAUGAUCUUAUCAACAGAGAAUUAGCUCCCCAGCGUGAUCCUGUGGCUCUAGGAGGAGAGUUUCUAGCUUGCGAAAUAGAGUUGGACCCUGAUGAUUAUAUCACUAUUUAUGUUGAGAAAAGCUCCAAGAAUUUGUUGCAAAUCAUACGCGAUUUAGAAACUCCAGACAAUUUAGACUACUCCUAGUUAGGUCUAGGGAUGACAAUAAUCUCCAGCGGGUAGGGUACCCACGGAUAUUCAACCCUAACGGGGAAGAUAUACGAGGAUAAACGGGUGACGAGUAUGGGGAUCCUCAGUAUUCGGAUUUUUGAAUCGGGUACGGGGCGGGUAUGAUAUUUUGAUAUUCGUCCCCGUCCCCAUCCCCACCCAUUUAGCAUGGAAAUUAAUAUUGUUUUAUAUAUAUAUUAUUUAUAUAGAAAAUUUCAUAUAAGUGUACCUUGAGACAUUUUCUUCCGUAUAAGUCCACAUCAACAUUUUUACCCAUACAAGUCCACUUUGCAGGCUCAAUUUUUUUUAUCAUGACUAUCUUACCCUUAUUUUUCAAAAUAUCUCAUAUCUCUCUCCUCUGUUUCUCACGUCUCACCCAUUCAUUUGGUUCUCUCUCUCUCUCNNNNNNNNNNNNNNNNNNNNCUCUCUCUUCUCUCUCUCUCUCUCUCUUCUCUCUCUCUCUCUCUCUCUCUCUCUCUCUCUCUCUCUCUCUCUCUCUCUCUCUCUCUCUCUCUCUCUUCGUUACAAACCAGAUCUGAUCCAUCAUCGAUUCAACCUCUUGACAAAGCCGCCUCCUCGCUGAUUCAACGUCGUCGGAGCUUCGUCGCACCUCUCCCGCCGACUCUUUCACCUGAGACUCGCGUUUUUUGAGCAGUUGCCGACCUACAGGAGAUUUUGGAGGAGUUACACCGCGGCGACGCCUCGACUCCUCUCCGGAUACCACAGCUCAGCAAGCCGACGCCUUGACUCCAGAAACCGCACCGACGCCUCGACUUCGGUGCAAGGGGACGGGCGAAGAUUUAUGUUCUCCGAUCUACUCUCGGUUACCACCCAGCGAAGCCAGCCACUACGUCUCUAGAAGCCGCAUGAAGUCACCGGAGACUCUUGCCGGAGGUCGCCGGAGACGUUGCUACAAAGGAGGUUGUCAGAGGUGAGAGUGGGUUUUGGUGGAGGUGAGAGUUGGUUUCAGUGGAGGUGUGUAGUUUUUGAUAUGUUUGGUAGUAGGUUUUGGUGGAGGUGAGAGUAGGUUUUGGUGGUGGUGAGAGUAGGUUUCAGUGGAGGUGAGUGUAGUUUUUGAUGUGUUUGGUAGUAGGUUUUGAUGGUGGUGAGAGUAGGUUUUGGUGCUUGGUAUCGAUAGUAGCUUUUGUUGCUGUCGAUAGUAGCUUAGCUUUUGUUGCUACAGGUAGUAGCUUUUGAUGGUGGUGAGAGUAGGUUUUGAUGUGUUUGGUAGUAGGUUUUGAUGGUGGUGAGAGUAGGUUUUGGUGCUUGGUAUCGAUAGUAGCUUUUGUUGCUAUCAAUAGUAGCUUUUGUUGCUAUCAAUAGUAGCUUUUGUUGCUACAUGUAGUAGCUUUGUUGUUGGUAGUAAUAACUUUUUUGUUUGAGGUAAUAGAUUUUGUUGUUGCCAGUAGUAGGUUUUGUUGUUGGCAGUAGUAGCUUUUGUUGUUGGCAGUAGUAGCGUUUGUUUGUGACGAUAGUAUCUUUUGUUGAUAAUGGUAGUAUCUUUUCUUGCUGGCAGUAAUAGCUUUUGUUGUUCGCUGUUGUAACUUUUGUAGCUAGGGAUAGUAACUUUUGUUGUUGACGAUAGUAGUCUUUGUAGUCGGCAGUAGUAGCUUUUCUUGCUAGGGAUAAUAGCUUUUCUUGCCGGCGGUAAUAGUUUUUCUUGCUGGCGGUAAUAGUUUUUCUUGCUGGCGGUAGUAGCUUUUGUAGUCGGUGGUAGUGGUAGUAGCUUUUGUAGUCGGUGGUAGUAACUUUUCUAGCAGGCGGAAGUAGCUUGUCUUGCUGGCAAUAGUAGCUUUUCUUGCUGGCGAUAGUAGUUUUUUUUGUUGACGGUAGUAGCUUUUGUAGUCGGGGGUAGUAGCUUUUCUAGCUAGGGAUAGUAGUUUUUCUUGCUUGCAGUAGUAGUUUUUCUUGCUAGCGGUAAUAGCUUUCGUAAUCGUCAGAAACCUCGCCGGAAGUCGGCUGGAGACAUCACCGGAGUUCGUUGGAGACCUCACCGGAGAUCUGCCGGAGACUUUUCUGGGGAGGAGAGUGGUUGUUGAUUUUUUACAAUUAUGGCAUUUUUGUAAAUAUAAGAGAGAAAAUCUAAUUUUUUUAGUUGGAUGUCAGUUUGUAAUUUAGUUGAACUUCAAUACCUUUAUUUAAGCUUGGGCGGACUUAUGUGUGUAAAAAUGUUUAGGUGGACCUCUAUAGGAGAAAAUGUCUCAAAGUGGACUUCUAUGUAAUUGGCCCUUAUUUAUACAUAGAUAUUUAUGUAAAAUCUUUUGUAAUAUUUUUUUUACUAUGAUUCUCUUAAUGAAUAUUCAUAAAAACUUCAUUUUUAACCGAGACUUAUAUUCGUUUUUGUUGGAUUGAAUCAAGAAACUUAUUUAUAUAUGUAUUUGAUUUUAUUUUUAUAUUUCUAUAUUUCAUAAUUAUUGUUAAAAAAUUAAUUAUUACAUAAUUGUUAACGGGGAUCAUGACGGGUAUGGGAACGUACGUAAUCCCCAAAAGGGACGGGUACGGGGAAUACUCAUUAUCUAAUUACGGGGAAUGAGACAGGUAUGAGAAUAAGGAAUAAAAAAUGGUACGUGUAUGAUAUUUUGAUACCCUGACCCUACCUUACCCUUUUGCCAUCUCUAGUUAGGUCAAACUUGGUUUGGAGGUUGAAAUUUAUUAAUUUCAUGUUUUGUUUUGGACAACUCUCUUGAGGGGUGUUUUGGUCAAUGCACUUGGAGCUGGAAACGCAAGGCCAUUUUGGUCAUAUAAUAGAAUUCAAGUACAAUGUGACUGCAAUUAGUGUUUGUGACUUGGUGUGUGUAAACAAGAAUAGGUAAAAGAAUCAAAAGUCUGAACGAUCAAGCAUGUCUACCAAGGUCAUUCUCCUUGGGAACCUAGCUGGCAGUCUCAGGUAUGUCGCGUCUUCGAUCUCAAUAGGCAGAUGUGUUGCCACUAUGACAAUGCCGCCUUUCUUUCUAUGCUCUGCAAUGAUGUACUCGAGCAGCUUCACUCCGUCGGUGUCCAAUGCAACAGAGGGCUCGUCGAGCAACCAAAUAGGCCUGUCGAUUGCUAGCAACCUUGCGAGCUGGAGUCUCUUCCGCUGCCCCAUUGAGAGCAUUCUCGCCUUCUCUUUGGCCAAUCUGCCGAGGCCCAUCAGCUCCAGAGCAGGCAGGGAAUUCCCCAUCUUGCCUUCGAGGACUUCAAACCACUGGACAUUGUCGAGGACUGUGAACUUCUCUUUGACAGCGUCUUUGAGUGAGAGCCAGUUGAGCUGGAGCUUGUACUGGUGGAAAACUCCUGAAUCCGUGAUGUCAUGCCCGUUCCAGAGGACCUGGCCAGCAGAAGGCUUAGAAAAGCCAGCUAACAUGCGCAGGAAGGUACUCUUGCCCGAGCCAUUUGUGCCCAUCAGCACAAGUGCUCCACCAUCAUGUACUGUGGCAUUUACAUGACGCAAGAUCUGCUGAGCAUUCCUCAUACAAGAGACGUUGUUGAGGAGAAGACGAGGGAUCGGGGGCUUUCGCAAAGACAUUGCAGUCUAUCAACUGAUAAGAAGCAAAAGCAGCAUGAUGAAACGAAAAAUCGGUCAUAGAAUGGAAAGCAUAAAGUUUAGGAAAAACAAACAUAUAAUGCACGAAUCAUUCGUGUCAUAGAACACAAAUGGCUAAAACGUGAGCUAUUUCUUUUCGAAUUCACAAUCAUAUAUUAACUAUUAUCGCAAAGCGCAAGCAAAGAUCAUAGAAGGUCACAUCCCCACCCAGAUGCUCCAUAACACGAAAAUCAAGGCUAAAUACGAAAUAGAUGAAGAUUGGUCCAAUCAGGCAUUUCGUCAAACAGGUUAUGUGCGUUAUUCUACAGAGAUGAAUACUAAAAUAACCGAAAGGGAAGUAAUCAAAAUAAGCUCAGCAAGUUAAUAUGAACUCAAUUACCAGUAAAAUUGCAAACACUCCUGAUUGAACAUCAAUCUCAAACACGCUAACAACUUAACACUUUCUGGUUUUCCCUGACCGAGUUUGAAAAAUACGAUAGAAAUGUGAAACAUUACGAAUCCAACAAAUAACAGAAGCAAAUUAAACUUCAUAACCCAUCAACAACAAGAAACACAUUGUUCAUUCUGUAAAAUGAAAUUAACAAACAGGGUAGCGGCAGAGCUUUCAUACCAGAACAGGGUAGUAGUCCGUCACCAACACGCACUGCUAUUAGGGCUUCACGUAUUAUUCUUUUAUUAAGCCCAAACCCAAACGCUGCAAAUCCUGCAAUCAAGGAGCUGAGAUUAGAAUAUUGCAUUAACACAGAUGCACAUAAAUCUUUAUAUCUUAACCGAUCAUCACUCUUUGUUACGACACCAUGUAUACACGAAUUUUUGUUUUCUUAUGAGAGAAAAGUGAAAGUGAACUUUCGAUUUUUAACCUUCGCUUCUAACUCACUCUUCAUCGGUUAAUUUUUCUAGUUUAGACUGGCGUGAAAUGUCCCCAAAUUGGAUGAAGAUUGUCAUAACGUUCUACACUGUGUUGAUGAAUCUCUUGUAUCAAGCCUCAUAUUAUAGGUAGGCGAGACUCAAUUCAAUUUGAUCCAAGUCGUCUGUAAGUCUGUAACAAUAGGCCAGACACAUACAUAUAUUUUCAUUGAGAGCUUGAGUGCCCACUAGAAACACUCAAAACACCUCGAGGUACAAAUUUAUCGACAGAAAGAUUGGUAUCAACUCUUGACCACAAUAGUUGGUUAUCUCAACUGCUACCAUCAUCACUAUGUUCUUUUCAAACAUGCAGCAGAGUAUAGUAAUUUUUGCCACAAACUCCAGAAUAUUUACCACUAUUUUCCAAAUAAAGAUUGUUCUAACCCAUACUGAAGUGAGAAAAAAAGAAAUUGGGAAAGGGUAUUAUGGGAGGCUCAGAUUAGCACAUAUAGGCCAGACAAGGGAAAAAGGGAAGCCGCCGUGGCUGCAACCAAACACGGUUGCCGGCGAAAAUGACAAAAGCGUCAUUUCACCGGCCAUCCGGGGUCGCCUCGCCAGAACAAACGGCCCCCCCUAGAACCGCAAUGCCCCUAUUUCCCACACUCCGAAACUUCAUCGUCACAGCCUCGUUGGGUUUAGGGUUUAGAGAGAAAGAGAGAAAGAAAGAGAAGAGAUACAUAUAUACACACACACACAUACACAUUAUGUGUGACACAUUACAGAGAGAAAGAGAGAGAGAGAGUGUGGAGGGGCCGGAACUCAUCGGCUCCGGCGAUGACCUUGAGAGAUCGGCGGCGGAGCCUCGUUCUUUGAUCGGAGUGUGAUUGAAGACCUAAUUUUGGGGGAUAGCUACAUAUUUAUAGUCGCCUCACUCAGCCCUGUUGGGUUUAUUACCUCUUUGCCCCUCUUACAAAUUUAGUGGGUCGCAUAAGCGGACUGGGCCUGAGCGGGCUAGGCGGAGGUAUUAUUGGGCUAGGCGGAACCUACGAUGGUUGGGCCUAGGCAGGUUAAGCGGCCCACCUUCAAAACAAUUUAGCUAAAAAGCGGGUCUUGGAUUCUUCAAAGCAAUGACCUGCACUUGUUUUUCGAUGUGGUAAAGAAAAAAUACUACACGAAAAAAUGGUGGCAAGCUGAGUCUAUGAUCCACGGCUUGAAAAAAAUGGGGUAGAGGUUGGUUUUCUUCGAAUGCAAUUUACAUGGCUGCUCGACCCUUCUGAUGGAGUACAGACUUAUGCACAACUUCCCCGCUCGAGCUAACAAAGUAGGUGACCUGCAACACCGAAAAGUGAACACAUAAAAAUGCAUCAGUUGGUUAACUAAGGAAUUGGCGGAUUGCCGUGUUUUGUGAAAUAGAAUUGCAACGAAACACCAGACGAUAGGAAUACGCACCAUUUCUAGAGAGCUGACUCUAUGAAGAAGAAACUCGACCUCUGAAUCUCUGUGUGGUUGCAAGGGUAAGGAAACAAAGUAUAGUCAACAAGAAGUUGCAUGUAUAAGAUAAAAUGUGGAUCAAACUAAGGGUAUACAGAACUGAAAUGUUCACCUUCUUAGUACUGAUGUCUCAGAAGUUAGUGCAUUCAUUGAGCCCGGGUUCCCAAUGUAGCUCAGGCUACCUUGUUGGACAUUGCUAGUGCAACCCUGUCCACUGAUAUACGCAUUCUGGAGGACAUAGAGACAAGGAUUACAAAGUUUUGAGUAAGAUUUGUCAUCUGACUUAUGAUCGGAUACAAAGAACUACCGGUUCUUACCACUUCAUAUUUCAUAAAACUAUGGUGUAGAGACUCAACAACUUGUUUUGCUUCCAUUCCCUCUUCAUUAUCACCGCAUUUAGCCAAUGGGUGGAAACCAACAACUAUGCGCCUAUAUGCAAAACGCAUUACAGCAAGUUAGCGAUUGGAAGUUAUCCUAAACUUCACUCAGUUGAGCAAUCAGUUCUUAAGAUCAUCUCUUUUAUACUACAAGAAUCAAAUACUUGAACCAAAAAUUAGAACAAGAAAUCAAAAUCUUUGAAUUGCAUUGCCAAGAUUAUAGUAAAUGUGAAACCAGAAAUAAUACAAGUCAUCAAAUAGAAGUGUCCAAUGUAUCAAUAUUUGGAAAAACGUUUCUCAAAUUCCUUCCACCUUUUUUGGGUUUUGAAAUCUUAUGGAUCACCAGGAAUAGGAAUUAACAAGAAAUAGACAAGGCCAUACAGUAGAUUAAUUUUACCAGUCACUGCUGGUUGCCUCUAGUGUCCUUGUCAGCCAAUGUAAUUGAUUGUAUCCAAACUCACUUGAUGUUUCCGAGAUUAAAACCUUCCCCUUUGAAAUAAGUUCGUAAGAAAUAAGAACCCAGAAACUACAUACAUAUAUACAGAUCAAGGAUAAGUAACAUAUGAGAAGGAUGAGGAUGAGGCAGAAACAAUUUACGGCUUGAAAUGAUUAAAUGGACAAUCGCCACCUAUUAGUGAAACAUGAAUUACAGAAGGAUAUGACUAACAUAUGAACUGAUCAUGGAUUACUAUCAGGUAACUUUUUUUUCUUAUUCCAAAGAGACAAAACAUAUGAUCUAAUAGUAACUUCAAAUAUACAUAAAGCUGUCAUGAACAUCAGUGCUCAACAUGAACAAGAUGAAAGGAGCUAAGCCAAUGCCAAAAUGUAAAUAUGAUUGGACUGAUUAAUGGAACAACAACCCAAUGCGUACCUCAAUUGACCCAGUAUCCACACCAAUGAGGUCUAAGGUUUUCUCAUAAGGUAGUCUUAUCUGCUUCUGGAAGUAACCCCCUCCAUAUCUGCCUGAUACUGUAGUAGUAUACCAGGGAACCUUCAGUGAUGAAAAAUGCAGGGUACCCUGUAAAAGAGUACAUCCAGAGCUGUUGCUAACACUUACAAACCAUUGAAACUUUACUAGCAACUAGAAUCGAGGAUGCAGCUCAAGAAACUGAGAAGAAGAAAACGACCCUACAUUCUGCAUGAGUGGAUCAUCCUUCCCAAGAUCACUGAUAUCCACCACAAAUUUUGCCUUGUACUUCUUUGCCACCCUCGCCAUCUUUUACCAACAAGAAGGACCACAAUUAAACCAGUAAAAAGGAAAUCUUGAAAAGGCAAUUAGUAGAUGAAGAAUGUGGUAAAUGUCACUUUCAAGAUAUAGUAGUUCAUAACCAAGAAUCUAAUACAAAUGAACCACCAAAGCAAAGGUGACAAACUUAAAAGAAUCAAAACCCACGACCCCACUCCUCAAAUAAAUGCCUUAUUCUUGACCCCAUUAAUUCUCAGAAAGGUGUAGAGGUUUAGCUUAAUUUUUCACAAGGGUGCAGGAAGAUUCCUAUGCAAACAGUACAUAGAUGCUUAUCCUUAUCUUUAUCCAAUCUUCCCAACAUUUCUACCCAGCACCCAGUUUGGAACAUCCAACAACAUUAGCAAACAAUAAAGAUCGUCACUUUAUACAAUAGGAGACGAAACGAGCUAUAUACCCCCCAACAAGCAAAAACUAAACACUACGCAAAUCGAAAUAUGCAAGAAGCAUUACGAUUCCAAGAAAACUUUUACCUGUUUGAGAAGAUGGGUCUGUUGCUUGAGAGGUCUGAACCCUCCUCUGACGCUGAUGAAGUAAAGAUCUCUGCUUUCACUUGUUCUAUGGAGGUACACAGAGUUCUGAGGCUGACCUAGUUGAAAGGCAAGGUAGAGACAUAAGCAGAGACUCACUUGCGCCACUAUAGUUGGAACCCAUAAUGGUUUCUUCUCCAUUUUUUAUCACACUCCCUCUGUCUCUGACUCUCUGAGUGCUCAGUGUCCACUUAUAGUUCUGAUCUCAUGAAUGAAAACCUAAGACAUCCCACAGUAGUAUAUACUUUAAGUCGAUAAUAUUAUGAUCAUGUGCGUGUCGCGUCACGAAUAAGAUACCCGAAACAACUGAAUGCAUCGUUAGCUUUUACUUGUGAGAACAAGACAAUGAGAUUGGUGUUAUUAUUCUGAAUGGGGCCAACAUGUGUUAAAUUCUUGACUGUUCGUCCCUGUCAGGUAGUAUGGAUUUUUCAGGGCUCUGCUGUUUGUUGAAGAUGAAGUAAAUUACUGUAAGCAAAUAACUGAAGGAAUAUGCUUCAUUUUCAACAUGUCAUUGUGUAUGUCAUAUAUGUAGGUCAUGGCCUUCCCCUUUUCUUUUCACCUGAGAUAUGUAUGUACAAAGAUUAUUCUGACCAAGAUAUAAGAAAACUGCAUUCCAAAGGCACCAGACAUUGGGAAAGAGAUACUCUUAUCAAUAUAAUUUCUUUCUACACUAAUCCGCAGUUUUAAAAGCUCAUUUGUUCCUACAAUGUGUAAAAAGCACUAUUUCCCUUUUAUCCCGUAAGAAAUAGGAUGCUAAAGUACAGUAUACAUAAGAUCUAAGUCAUGCCACCAUCUCCAGUGCAGUAGACAUAUCCCAACACUUCGAAAAAGUUUCACUUCCAGCGAGCUCUUCAAACUCAGUUUCUUCAUCCUCAAAAGCCUGUUGCUUGCUUUCUUUCAGUCCAGGGUACCUGGCCUCAACCCGAACCAUUAAUAAUGCCAGAUAGAACAUUGGCAAUACAAUCAAGAAUAAUCUCAAAAAGCAAUCCUGUGCCACUAUCAGUGACCAGUUCAAUGUUACAAUCACCAGUAUAUACAAAUGAAAACAUUACUAAGUAUACAGUGGCAGCACUUUUUUAAAAUGAGAUAACUACUGCAGGGGUACACCGCCUUUUGAGAAGUUUCUAGUUGAACGAUUGCACCCUCAGGGAGCUAGAUUGAACAACCUGGCAUCAUGUCAAGCAUAACUUCCCUCACAACACAGCAACUCGUCCAACUAACAGUGCUCCUCAAUUUUAGAUUUAGUUGCUGAUCCAUCUUCUUUUCCGAGCUGGCCGUUCUGGUUUGAUCUCAGAUUCUACCACAGGAGGGUCACUAUUAGGGGAAGGCAGCAGUUCGGUCUCAAUCUUUUUGAUUGUUGAUGGUUCUUUUUCGCUCGGCAAUGGAAGCUUGAACCGCUCACUUCGUUUCUUCAACUUCUCAACGGUGUCCAGGUGACGGCCCUCCAAUGUCGUGUCUGUAUCUAAUGGUUUUGUGUCACCAUCCUUAAUAUCCUGAUCACCAGCAUUCUCCUCAGGCAAUGGAUGUUGGUUAUCAACAGCCUCAACAGGCUUGGAAGAAUCAUCUGGAAGUUUACUGCCAUCUGAGGAUCCCCUAUCAAGCUCUUUGAACUUUGAGGUAGAGGAUGACUUACUUAAGAUGCUGAAAUCCCUCUCCUUCUGACUUGUCCAUCGUUCCAAUUUGGAGCGCCCCUUUUUUAAAUCCUGCUGCUCAUCAUCAGAGGAAGCAUCUUCCCUGUGCCUUUUAGAAGAGUGACCAACUCCUUGCUCACGGGUGCCUUUCAAGCCCUAAAAGGGCAAAAGAAGCAAUCAUGAGAAGAGAGCCCAACUCAAUCAUCCAUUAUCAUCAACCAGGGUCAUAUACAAAAUUUCAAAAGCCAAAAAGGGAUUAUGAACAACAACUGGCAAAAUGUGCAUGGGAUUAUCCGGGAUUAGUGAAAAAGUUAUUAGCUAGUAACAUGUUGAUCUACUUGUUAUUGUUUAUCCUACUGCCCUCCUGUACUACCCUCCUACUGCUCAAACCAUAAACCUCAUUUUAAGGGGAAAUGAUACAUAUAGGCUGGCUCAAAUGCAGCUAACAUGUGUCCAUUGUUAAGAAAAAAAGUAUGUGCACUGGUCUCAGUAAAAAAAUGCGCUUCUGAUCAUGCAGAGGUUAUAGAUGUGAAGAUUUCAACAGCAGAAGCCAUCACAAAUUAGGCGAAAACUAAGUUACUAAUACAACCUUCCAAUUUUGGUUUUUGUUUUUAAUCUAUUUUUUUUACAAUGGAGAAAGGAAGAACUGAACCAUCACUCAAGCUUGAAACAUAAAAGAAAAUAGGUCCAAACAGUCUAUGCUACAGAUUGUCAGAGUUAUGCAUCAUUAAGUGUAGGAUUCCAUUGUUGUGAAAAAGAAAAAAGAAAAAACUGAGAUUUGAUUAUAUGUCAUCCAAAUCAAGCUUGCACCCUAUCUACCUUAUUUCUGAAGGAAAGAAGAGAAAUACAAUAACUAUUUGAAGAAACAAACAAACAAAUUAUGCACGAGACCUGAUGUCAAGAAUGGUACAUACCAUCUCCUUGCUACGGCCACUUUGGUCGUCUUGAUGUCUUUUGGAAGUGAUUGAAGUGCUGAUAUCAGCAAUUUCAAUUUCUUUAUUCCUUCUUGAAUUCUCUUUAUGUUUUCUAUCAUGGACCUUUUGACUAUCAACACGUUCAUUGCGAGUACUUGAUCUCUCUUUUCCAGAUCGUCUCUCAUCAAUAUUCAUUUGAUUUCCCCGUGCAUGAGCAUCCUCACGUCCCCUAUGAUGUGAACUUUCCUCCUCAACCCUAUCCCUUCUUUUGGACUGCUCACCAUGUCGCACAGUCUCUUUAUUUUGGUGCUCCUUAUCAGAGCCUUUGUUUUCAUCCUUCGCCCUAGCAUGGCCUACCCAUGCUUUGUCUUCUGAAACACGCCCACCCCUUACAGAAACUCGACCAUCAUCUCUUUCCCUCUUUGGUAGAUUUUCUUCAUGUGAUUGCUUAAGCCUAUGCCACUCCUCCCUUUCUCUUUGUCUGUCACCUCUCUCCCUCUGCAACCAGCUUUCAUCUUUGUGCCUGACAGAGUGGUGGUCAUCAGGAUUAUCCCUGACUUUCUGCUGGUCAUCUCUUUUACGCUGAUCUAAAACUUCAUCCCUUUCACGCUUUCGGCGAGUGGUAGUAUCUCUGUGGCCCUGUAGAAGUUCUUCUUUAUCUAUUUGGUCCCUCCUCAUGUAUUCCUCAUCUUUCCUUCUCUUGCCAUGGUAAUCAUCUAUAUGUUCAUACCUGCCCUUCAGACUAUCUUCUCUUUCCCUGGGUCGUGAUCCCACAUCCUUAUCAUAAAAGACCCUAUAGCUGCCAUUAUCUAACUGCUUUCUUGACUGCAUAUACUCAUCUUUGUCACUCCUCUCACUUUCACGAAUCUUACUCCUGUGCCUGGAUCCCAUUUCAUCACCACGUUCCCUCUUCCGUGGUUCUUCAGUUCUAAUCCUUCUGCUAUAAGGAUCAUCAUCCCUCCUUUGCCAUGCUCCAUCAAGAAUUUCCCUCUCUUUACGCCUAUGAAGCGCAUCAUUUUUAAAUUGUGAAUGAUGAACAGAGCUAGGAUCCCAAUCCCUAUACGGAUAAGAACCCUCCCUCCCUUUGAGUAACAUUUGAUUUCUAUCCGGUUCUGGUCUACCAUCACGGCCUUUUCUUUGGAAUCCCUGUUCCUUUUCAUCAAGGUGACUCUUGAUGCCUCCAGAGUGAGAUGAACGUCCUUGAAUUACUUCCUCCUCAACUCCAUCCCUCCACUUCUGAUAAUCCCUACUGCUUCCUGAUCUUGCUUUGCUGUUGUCACUACUUCUUGCAGCCUUGGAGUCUUCACCAUCAUCAAGUUCUUCAUCAGCAGACUGUUCAACUCGUGAAGUCAACUUUUGAUGGUUUGGAACUCCAUCAUUUACAUUCGCAGCCAUUUCCUCUUUUUCCAUUCCAGAGUUUUCAUCACCCGGUAAAGGCUCAUCUUGGUCACCGCUUCUAUGCUGAACAUUUGACUCACGGGCAGCCCCAUGUGAGACAGGAGAUGAGAUCAAAGGACUUCGUCUGCCAGCCACGCUUUCCACUGAUCCUUCCUUUUGAUUGUCAGGAAAUUUCAUGUCUCUUGUACUCCUAGGAGAUCUGUCACGUGCUCUUCUCUGUGUACCCCUAUUUUCUCCAAAACUACCACCAGUAGAACUGGGAGUCUGGUCCCCAGAACCAGCACGUUGGACUGGCCCUUCUGGACGGAAGGGCAAACUUUCAACGUCUUCUGGCACACUACCAUUGAAUGGCCUUUUCCUUCCAAGUGAAUCACUCUUUCGGUUAUUGUGCGCGUGUGGAAAACCAUUGGAGUAGGUCUUGUCAUCCUGUCGAAGGUCUCCCUCACCAAUAGCACUUCCAUCCUCUUUGGAAGGAUCAUUUUCAGUUCCGUCUGGGAUAUCAUUUCGUGCAGAGGAAUCAUCAUCUAAAGAGUCCUGCAAGACAAUCUGUUUAAGAUACAGACCACUAGUUAGCUUCUAUGACAAAACCUUAGAUACAAGCACAUAGGGACAGAAUCAACACACUAAAGAAUGAUUUGAUUAGUACUUCAAUGACAGCAUCUGAGUCACGCAUUCGCUGUGGCCGGUUUUCACAUGAGGGGAAACGUUCACCAUAACCACUUUCCACCUGUAUUGCUCUUCCAGUUGGCUGGCAUAAGAUAAAAUUACCCAAUGAGAUUUAAAACUAAGCUUUAAUGAUAUAUAUAGUUACAAAAUUAACACAUGCUGUCAAAGCAUGCAGAUAUCAAACAAUAUAUUUAUCUUGCAGACCAAUAUAUCUAUCUUGAAGAAUAUAAAACUGUAACAGGCAAGAUAUAGUUUGUAAGGAAGAAAAUUGGAAGUCUAUACAUACAAUAGGCGGACGCAUGCGAGCAGAUCCUUUUGCAAAAUCACUUUGCCCGCCCUCUGACUUUCCCAGGUUUGUAUUAGCAGUAGGAAAGUCAUGCAUACCAGUUGCUGCUGCCAAUUCUGGAGGCAGAUCUGGAUCAUAUUCCUGUGAUGUAACUUUUCUAUCAGUUCUAUCAAAAUUUGAUUGCGGUGAAAAAACAAUGCAAGAAAAGAUGAAAUGCAUAGGUUCUCACAAGAUGCAUAACCUCUCCCUUACCUGUUCUGUUCGUCCACUUUCGUAGACACGGAUUUUGCUUUGCAUGGUGGACUCCAAACGGAGCUGUUCCUGCAUAUAUUAAGUAUAGGAACAAUUAUACCCUUUGUUUAUAAGAUAGACAAAAAGAUAAUAUGGAUGGAUGUAUUGUUACCAGCUGUUUGCAAUAAUCUCUCCAGCUAUCAUCAUUUAAUCCAAAGUUGAAAUAGUCUGAAGUAUCAGCACCAGGAUAUUUCCAAGGUUUUUCCUCAAAACCGUCAAUGUCCACAUCAAAUAUGGUCCUGAAAAUCAUCAAGCAUUUUCAAUUUAACAAAAAAAUAAAGAGCAGAAGUAAUUUCCUGAUACCAAAAGAUGACAAGACACUUCCAAACAAAUAAAAGACUGCUCAUACAGUGUAAUAUAAAAUAUAUAAAUAAUGAAGAAAAUGUAUAACUUUCCAAAUAUGUAACCUAGAAAGUAGAUUUAAGCACUAGAAAACUUCAUGAUAUCUUCCAACCCAGAACAAAAGAAAUACACAACAGUAUGAAACUAUCAUGGAAGUCAGCAGAAAACAAUCCAGUUCAUCACAUAUAUGGGUAACUUAAAACUUAUCAUGAAUAUUACUUGUGAGAAGGAAGUGUGAAUUCAAGUCCACCCCCGAAACCGCGACCACCCAUAUUGUUGCCCCAGCCAGGUGUACCAAAGCCGGAGUGAAAAUUUUUCUGCAUCGGAGUACCGUUUUUUAAUCCAGUUGGUCUCCAGUCACCUCUACCUCGACCAGGUGUUGGGCCCAUGUUUACAAGUGGACGAACUUGACCUGGGACUCCAGGACCAGAAUUAGUCGGUCCAGGCAUUGGCACAGCACCUGGUCUCACAUACUGCAUAAGAUACAAAACAAACAAAUUUAGCUAGAAAAGUGUAGCAUGUUUCUAAUGUUGCAUAUUACAUCAUUUAACAUAUUUCUGAUUCAAGUAAGAAACAAUACAAUUGCUUGCUCAUGUAUGAUCAUAUCACAUAAUAUAUGACAAGUCAGACACAUAUAAAACAUUUUAAAAUGAUAUCAAACCAUCUACCCCACAACUAAAAUCAUGAAGACAUAUCAGAGCUAGAACAUAGAAGUGGCCAAAGAAAAAAAUUUGAAGUUGUAGAAUAAGUCUAGAACUUCAAGAAUCUCCCACUUGGGAAUUAGCUAUAUGAAGAGAGAGAGAGAGAGAGAGAGAGAGAGAGAAGAGCCAAGACAUAUUCAAGAAUUCAUUAGUUGGGCGCUAAUUGUUUGAAGGGGAAGGGGAGCAUCCAAGACCUAUUAGACCGACAUAGCAAACAGUUGAAUAGGUUUCCAAGAAGCAAAAACAUCAUAACAAAGAAGUUAUAGGAUUAGGUAAUCAAUAAUGGGACCUGAAGUAAAACAAUCAAAACCACUUCAGGAAGAUAGAGCACUGAAGCAAAACUGGUUUAUUCUAUUGAUAUCUUCACUGGCAGUGAAGUUCACCUAUCGAAGAUUAAAAAUUCAGAACUAACUUGCACGAUGCACUACUGUUUUCAGAGUUUCAAGUAAUAUUCUUUCUUAUUUAGACUGAAGUGUGAGUACUGGGUGACACAGUAUAUAAUGUGGAAUAGCUGCAUGGCUCUGUGAAAGGAAAAUGUUUAUGACCAAAGUGUAUAGAUUUGAAAGUCAGUAAUCUUCCUGGAAAUUCAGCCAUUAACAACUGUAAUAGAUUAGCACCGUAAUCCUCAAUUCUUCAGCUCUGUAUAGGUGCCUCAGGCCUCACUGUAGUUAAAUAUGCCACAGAAAGGCAACACUGAAGAUCCAUGGCAUACAAGCCACUUACACUGGUGAAGAAAUCUGAAGAUCAGAAGUUGCAAGGGUUGUAUAAUAUCCGGGAGUUAUCAUUGAUAAACAUUGAGCUUGUGAUUGAUCAAGAAGAGUAAAUACAAACAGCUUAAAACAAAAAAAUCAGCCAAGUAAAAUUCAAGUUGCCAAAAAAAUAGAACAUAAACCAUUAAGCAUCGAGUAAACCACUCUUUGUAUUGACUUCCAUUAAAAUUUUCAAGUAGCAUACACUCUAGUAACUAAAACAAUGCCAAACCAAUUCCAAAUUAUUAAUUUCACUAAACUAACUAACCAUGACAUUCACAUUGUACAAAAGCAUUACAAUGCAGGUAAUUUACAGUUCUAACUUUCUCAUCAAGCAAGGGGAGACGAGAUUGCCCCAUAUACAAAAAAGCUCCCUACUUUUUAAUCAAUAUAUUAACACAGCUAAACUAACCUUAAACUGGGAAUGAAAUGGAUGAUACCCAUGAUUGCUAUACCCAAUUUUCGGCGCCACCAUCGGACCUCCUCCUCCUCCUCCUCCUCCUCUCCCAGCCUCCCCCAUCUCCUUCCUCUCACCGUCCGCCGCCUGCUGCCCCUCUUCUCCCCACUCCGGCUCCUCCCCGGCAUGAUUGAGCUCACUCUCCGCCAUGAUAACCAGCCCGUCGUCAUCAUCCUCCUCGCCAUUGCCUCUCUCCAUCCCCAUUGCGUUGUUAUCAUUCAACACAAUCUGCAAGUCAUCCUCACUAUCAUCACUGUCCCAAUCAUCGCCGCCGUCCCUUCUCGAACCUUCCGGGUUGUUAUUCUCCGUAUUCCUCACCGGCGCCGCGCCGGAGAGCCCCGGAAUCACGGCGUCCAAUCCCAUGCCGGGAAUCUCAUUAGUACUCUCCUCCUCGAUAUCGAAAUUCACCUCCUUUUCGUUCAAAUCCGAAUCUUUACUCUCCAAUUUCACAUCCCUCGCCUCCAAAACCCUAGAAUCGGCGUUAGGAGCCGAAUCGGGAGCUAGGGUUUGGGAAUUGGGAUUGGAUUGAGGCGGAACCGGGGGGAGGAUCUCGUCGUCGGCGGGCUCGGUUUUGAGGUUGAGAUCGAUCGGACGGUGGAGAGGCUGCUGCGGCGGCGGUGCCGGGGCGGAGGACGAUUGGGAUGAGGACUGGAAAGAUUGGAGGACGUCGGUGUAGAGAUCUCCAAAUUCAUCGUCGUCUUCCAUCUUAAUUGAAAGAGAGGGAGAUAAAGGUGAAGUCUUUAAGGGAAAAGAGAGAGAGGAGGGUUUUGAGGUUUGAGGUCUCUCUGCAAAAGUGAAGAAGAAGAAGAGCAAUGGCGGAAGAGCCCAAUGUGUGUGUUUUGUGUUUAUAGAAGAAAGAAGAAAGAUGAAAGAAGAGAACUUUGAAACGUUGCGUUUUAUGUGCUCAUUUUUUUUUAUAGAAAAUUUCCGAAUUUGUUUUGGGCGACGAGAAAAUCUACGGUACACGGCGUGUAUCUUCACAUACAUACAUGGAUGGUGGAGAUUAGAGGAAAUAAUAUAGAAAUAUUAUGGUCAAACAUAUAAAUUGUUAUAAACGGUUAAUAUUGCGUCGUGUAAAAACACGUUAUACAUACACGAAUUUUCAAUUUGUUUUAGACAAGUACGACUAGUUAAAGUGAAUUUGAAUUUUGUAAUAUUAACAUUAUUUAGGUAUUUUAUUUGUUUUGCGUAGGGAUUUUGUUUCCCUUUCUGUUGUGUGUUAGGGUAUGGAAGUGGGAGAUGUGGCAAUGUUGCCAAUGAAGGACUUGUUAAAAUAGGUAGUAGCUAUGGUGUGGCAAUUUUGGGUUGGGUUGCAUUUGAUUUGGUGAUGUAAUGAGAAUCCUUGGUUACUUACAAUGAUUUUUGGCUAUGUGUCUAACUUAUAUGUUUCAUCUAAUACAAUUUGUGAUGUUGACAUAGAAUUCUAGUGUAUGCUAACUUAACGAUAAAUGAGGGCAAACAAAUCUUUUACGGUUUUAGAUUAUCUUGAGAAAAGACUAAAUCAGUAUAAAUCAAAAUAGUUUACUUGAUGUCACGUUACAAUAUAUUAAUAAGCUAUACACGAAAUUUGUUAUCCAUUAGGCAGGAGCACAACUCUUGAUGACAUGACUUUAUUACAAGCAUGUGCAUAACAUUCUUCAUUUAAACUCUUUGUCCCCCAUAUAGUACAUGUCCUUUAGGUCGUAUUGGUGUGCAUAACCUCUCGACCAUCAUAAUUUUGUUCUCUCAAAUAAAGGUGGUUGUUUUCGAGCCUUAAUUAAUAGUGUUACACGGACACAAACACAGACACUGACACGGCGUGACACGCCAACACAGCAAAUCCAAAAAAAUUAAGAUCCGACACGGCUUAGAUAUGGCAAAUAAUUAAUAUAUUUAUGUAUUUUAAUACAUAAAAUGCAUAAUAAAAACAUGAGAUCGAGACUAUAUGCGGUUAUCAACAAAGAGAUACUACAAUGGAAUGAAGAUUAGGAAACCGAUGAUUAAUUUGAAGUGGAAAAGGGAGAUGAAGGAAGAUGGGAAGAGUGGAAAAUGGAGAUUAAGUUGUAGUUUACAAAUUAGAUCAUACUAUUAGAAUUUAAACAUCGACUAGGAGGGAUAUAUNNNNNNNNNNNNNNNNNNNNNNNNNNNNNNNNNNNNNNNNNNNNNNNNNNACAAAUCGAAUUAUUCAAAUAUUCAUAUUACCCAUGAAUUAAAUUUCACAAUACAACAUCAAAUUUGAGAGAAAAAUUCAUUGCGUAGGACUGAAGUUGAAUCUCAUAUAGCUACAAAUCAAAAACCACAAACAUGAGUUAGCUCUGAAGAAAGCUUACCCGAAAAACAAUUCCACGAGAUCAGCGACGGUGGAAGACAGUCGGAGGCCGUCGAAAACGAUCACUGGAAAUUUAAUGGAGCAGGUACGAUGAUGAGAUGGUCGUAGAUUCGCAGAGGAAGAGAAGCUAUGGUAGUUUCGGCUUUUGUCGAACGAAGCUGGAUAAAUUUUAUAACAACUUCUUAACUGGAUUUGUAAUCCAUGUUGUACAUGAAUUAAAUUUUCCGGCCCAAGCAUGUCUGGGCCUCCAAACAUGUCAUGUAGCCAGAUUGGAAUAUUUUAAUAAAGUCCGUGUCUUAUAUCCGGUGUAACAAACACCUCCAUAGUUUCUAGACUAAUCCCGUAUCGGAACAUUUGGGCAUUCGACGAUUAGUCAUAAAACCCGGGUCACCACCGGUUCGGUCCAAGUCCGGUUCAGGUUCACACAGUUCCUGCCACCUGUUGCAAAAUACUUGAUUAUCCACUAGGACCCACAGAUGAAUCGGACGGCUACAACGCCACGUUGAUCUUACAACAAUUUGGUUGACCUCUACACACACCUCUUAAUCUUGACCAGAGAGGUGAUGCUGAGCUCAUUACUACACGCGCCACCACUCUCCGCCUCUCUUCCCCGCCUCUUCUCCACGCGCGCUGCCAUGGCCGCCACCUCAGCUCGAAUCGCAGUUGUCGGCGACGUCGUAAGCAUCUCUCUCUCACUCUGUUCUUCUCGGACUUUCAAAACCGUAGCAAAUUUAGCAGAUUUCUUACUCAAACUCAUUUUCAAUUCGUGUUCUGGUUUAUGAAGCAUGAUCAGUGGAAUCUAGAAGAGGACACAAAAGCGCUUCGAUUUCUGCAGGUAUACAUUUCGCUCUUUCUUCUUUGUAUUUUUAUUUUUUUUUCNNNNNNNNNNNNNNNNNNNNNNNNNNNNNNNNNNNNNNNNNNNNNNNNNNUCUCUCUCUCUCUCUCUCUCUCUCUCUCUCUCUCUCUCUCUCCCUAUCACACACACUUUUGUUUCGUUAUGCAUCAAAUUACUUGAUCUGAACUAAAUGGGUUUGAAAUUAAUGGAUCUCUGUUUGUUGGGUACUCAAAUUUAGGGUAAAGAUCGAAACUUUGUACUGAAUUGACCUGAAUUGGAGUGAAGGGGACCUGGGUUUUUAUCAGUUUGAUUGAAUGUUAGCGUGAUUGUGAUUUGGAUUGUGUAUUGAUUUUGGAGUUUUGAUGCUUGUUUCAGGUCAGUUUGAGUGCAUUUGCGUUCUUGUUUUCUGAGCUUGUGCAGUACAAUCAGACCCAAGUUGACAACAUUGCUGAGCUAGAAAGAAGGUGAUUCACAUUCUUGGUAUUUCGGUUUCGUCUGUCAUGUGCUCAUUUAGGUUCAACUAUGGUUAGUUUAGGGUUUCAUUGGAUUUCUUAGACAAAUGUGAAUGAAUGGAAGUUCAGUUUAUGCAGUAUUCUCUAAGCUCUAGCUUACUCUUUCACCUGAAAAUGAGUUUUGGAUGUUAUUUUAGAUUGCUGUGCUACUAUAGUUUGGUAAUUGAGUGCCAAAUAAUUCAAUGAAAAUCUUUAAGUGAAGAAAUUAAGGAUAUUGGGACUUGUUGUGACAGAAAGCAAAGACUUUCCUGUUUGCUCUGCAUCAUCUUAUUUUACAGUUCUAGUUUAGUAAUUCUGUGCUUCAAAUUUCAACAUGAUUUAUGCACGAUGGAUCAGGCUGGAAGAUGCAGGCUAUGCUGUUGGAGCUCGAGUUCUGGAGCUUCUUUGCCAUAGGGAUAAGGUAUGACUUCUAGUUCUUGAACUGAAAUAUGUUUGAAUAACGGACUGUUUACUUCAUUUUGGCAGUACCUAAGAAAUAAAAGGCAGAUGUCCAUUUUUUGGGUUUAUAAGAUGUCAUCUAUCCAUAGGUUGCUCCAGUCUGAAUGAAACAUUGGCUGUUUUGUGAACAAAAUUCUAGGUUAAAGGAGAUUGCACAAAAUCGUUAAUGCACUUCUGCAUCUUCUUGAACUACCACCUUGCAAUGUCACCAUCUUGUUUUGGAAUCUAGAAUCCUAAUCAUCUGUAAUAAACUAAAUAUUGAUUUAGUGUGAUUUGUGGGUGUAGUCUGGGGGACUGCAUGGGUGCUUAAUUUGACACAAAUGAUGCUGAUGAUUCUGUCUUGCUAUAGGGAAACAGAAGGGAGACACGAUUAUUGGGUAUCCUAUCUUUUGUGCAUAGCACAGUAUGGAAGGUGUUAUUUGGAAAGGUGAAUGUUUUUCGAUUUCUUUAAACUCUAUUUUCCAUAUUUGGGGCAAGUUUUAUGGCUGAAUUCCAAACACACAGACUUAUUGUUGAUUCACGUAUGCAUAUACGGGUGCAUGUCUGUUCGACCUAUGCACAUGAAAUUCUCUGAUGUACUUAAACAGUUAAACCUAGCGUUAACUGGUUUUUGGUGCAUGACAAUUAGGUAGCUGACUCACUUGAGAAAGGCACUGAACAUGAAGACGAAUACAUGAUUAGUGAGAAGGAACUCCUUGUGAACAGGUAACAGUUUAUGCAGUAAAAUGAAGUCUUUGAAAUUAUACCAUGUGUCGUAAAAUUUGUUUUUUCGGUUUUCAUUAACGUCUUACCAUCUUUUGAUUGUAGAUUUAUUUCAAUUCCAAAAGACAUGGGAACCUUUAAUUGUGGAGCCUUUGUUGCUGGAAUUGUAAGGGUAAGUGCUACUCUUUCUUCAUUAUCAAUUAAUUCGUCCAGUUCUUAUAAGGUGUCAUGGUAAUUGUCUUUUACUAUGAAGGGUGUUUUGGAAGGUGCUGGUUUUCCAGCUGUGGUAACAGCUCAUUUCGUACCAGUGGAAGGUCAGCAGCGACCUCGGACAACCAUUUUGAUAAAAUUUGCUGAAGAGGUGACUGUUAACUUUUUCUGAAUUAGCAUUCCAUACACAAACAUUGGAGUUUCAAAUGCAUAGGCAGUUGGAUGCAUUUCAGCUAGAUUUGAUGGGAGUGGACGUUUGAAUUGUACGUCCAUAGUCCAUUGGCCCUGUACAUGUGCAGGUCCAUCAAUUUUGAUCUCGUUUGAUGUUCCAACUGUGCAAUUUCUUUAUAUUUUUUACUCUAUUUGGCCAUAUAGUAGCUUUGGUUUUGAGGUUCCACUUCUGUCUUGCUUUUGUAUUCUCAUGAAUCUUUUUCUAUUGCAAGGUACUACGAAGGGAAGCAAGGUUGGGUUGAUGCUGAGUCCACAAUCAUCAUAUCUUACAUCUCGCUUAAGAUUCCCCUUAUUAUGAUUGAAAGUAGUGAUCUCACAUCUGGGUUGUCAAACAAGUGACUUUUCACCUCGAAUCAUACUUGUGUUAGCUAUUUCGCGAUGCUGAUUUGAAAGUAGCAACGAUUGUAAUUUGUAAGCAUAGCUGUGAUCCAAUGAGGAGAGAAGUAGAAAAAGAACAAGGAAAGAUACAGUUACAGAUGCGUAUAAUUUUGUUAUUGGUAGGAACUUUGAUUUAUGGCCUUGUGGUUAAGCUGCAGAAUGUGGAUUAGUACUUCAAUCAACCACAAUAUCUUCUUAUGUAUUUAAUCUGUGUUGGUGCGGAAGAUUAGAGUUGGCUUGUUACUGAUAUUUUUUAUUUGCAUCUGCUCAGCGACUGUUUUUAGAGCAAACAAUAGUUGGUUACUUGGUUUAACCAGCAGCUCAAACUGACAUCAAGUAGCAUGCUGCUUUCUUAACUUAUAGCUGUGAUCAGCAAGGAUUUUCACUCCCCAAAUAUAUGUAACCUUGUCAAACACUAAAUUGGAUGUAAUUCCUUCUCAAAUCUCAGAGGUAAAAAGGGUCUUCCCUCCCCAAAUAUGUUAAAGACCUGCACCGGGCCUCAAAGAAAUACAAAAAGGCUGACAACAAUGGUGCCUAAUCAGUGUACACUAGACGGAAAAAGAUGCUUGGCUUCUAUCCCUAUAUCCACCUCUCUAAAAUGUAUCAUAAGCAUCAAUGAACUGAGCUUCAGGGAUACAAUAAGUUGUUCAGGACUCAGCUUUGUUGAGGCCUUGCAACCUUAUGUUCCCAGAGCAAGUAGUUGCAAAAAGCACAUAAAAGAGGAGCAAUGUUUAACACCUAACAGUAAAUUUAUACUACCAGUAAAACCAUGGCAACAUCUCGCAAAUCCUAGUCACAUUGUCAACAGUAUUCUCUGAUAAUGAUAUCCUAUCCCAGAGAAAAUAGUGCACCAAACAUAGAUAGAGAAUGAAGUAUGAAACUACAGAGUAUGUUAGAUUCAUCAGCCAUUUAGCAAUAACAGUACCAACACUCUGAAUUGGUGCACAAAACCGAUUAAAUUUCCAAAACAUUGUGGAACUUAUAAACUUGGUGGACAUACAACACUAAAGGCCUGAUACAGUAAACUUAGAUAACCUGAAACAAGCACCAGACAGUUGAAACAGUUCCAAAGCAAAGACUAUAAAAACAAAAAGCAUUGUGAGGAAAAUAGUGGCAGUUCCAAUUAGCACCUGCUGCUGGGAAUGAGCAAACCCCUAAGAAAGACAAUGGAAAUUGAAUCAUAGUAAACCUCUAAUAGCUGCAAGCAGUUCAAUAUCCAGAAGAACAAAACAUAACAACAGAAAAUAUAACAUAAGAGAAUAGGGAAAACUUGCAACAGGCACACACUUGUACUCUAACAAAACUCAAUAAUUUUUAUUAAUAAUAUGUUCUAUUUUGAUUUUCAAUGAGAUCCAUGUCCAUACUCAAUACCAAGACCAUAUAAGACACCAGCAUAUUUCUUAGGAGACCCACUAAAGAAAUUGUUUUUCAGUUUCAUGAAGGUAAAACUGGUGAGUAAACUAUCAGAACCAGCUUGGUGAGAAAUGCCAACUCUCUCCACAUCCAACAGCUCCGCCAGCUUGUUCAACCCACCAUGGAGGCUGUUGCAGAACCUCAUCAGAUGCUUGACAUCAUAAAUUUUCGGGAAGUACAAAUUGAUCAAUUCAAAGAACUUUGUCUGCGAGUCUGGAAGGUCUUUGCAGGUAAGCAGCUUGAGCAAGUAACCGAAAUCAUAUCCACUAUGGAAGGUCACCCAAACCACAUUUUCAUUCAGCACAAUACCAGAGGUCAUCAACAGCUCACUGAACCUACGAGCAUCGAUACCCUUCUCAUUGUUCUUCUUGAAAUCCAUUCCACUGUGGGUCAAUAACUCAAUCGAUUCCGGAGCAUACAUAUCCUCAUUGAGAUUAAAGUUACAGAAAUUGAACUGCCACACACAGUACUUGUCAGUUCCACAGGUGGGCAGGUUCCCAUUCUCGUCUGAAAACGUGAGACCCAGCUGAAUCAACUUCAACAGGUCCACAUUGAGCUUCAGGGUCUGAUAGUUAUAAUCAAAGCUGUUCUUGAAAGUGCCCAGAGCGCGCGAAACGAUACCUGGAAACUCUGUAUCCAUAGCUAUAUAAGGGUAUUCAUCCACGAUAUUCCGAAUCAACUCAAAUUCCGCAUCAACAUUAUCAUUCCAAACUUCCCUAAUAAGAACAUCAUCACUCUUCAUCACAAAAGACAUUUUCUUUGAUACAAAUUGAAGCAGAUAACAAAACCCAGAAUGCCAAAAACCAUAAAUCUGCACAGGAAUCCAAUAAAACCCAAAAUCAAAACACACCCAUAUCUGAAAACCCUAGAAAAUCAAUACCGCAAAAUCAAGAACUCCGAGAACUCACCUCGACAAUUGACGACCUGGGCGUCUGAGAAAUGCAACGAUUGAAGCGAAACGAGGGUUUCCCCUUGUGAUUAUGUUGAAUGAGAUUUGAGGGUUUUAAAUUGAAAAGGGUUUUAAAUUGAAAAGGGUUUUACGUCGUUUUGGGAAAGAACGGUGUAAAAAAAGAGAGAAGCCUUUCCUUGCUUACAUUGGAACAGCAAGGAAUAGCUACUAGUGAGGUGAAUGGGAGAGAACCAAAGGAGGAGCUUGGGGUUUAUAUAUGCCCUAACUAUGACAUUUCUUGCCCAUUUUGCCCUUCAUUUUUUUCGUAUAAACUUCGUAUUUUCGUUUUCUCUAAGUUAAAGAGUCUCGAAUACCAAACUCGAAAUCCCUUCCCACAUUGGAGAACGCUCUCCCGGAGAAGGGUGUAUUUAGUUUCCUUCUUGAGAGAGGAAUCAUUUUGGUUUGUGUGUUAGAACUUGGAACCAUUCAUUGCAAUUCUGGAGUCAUAUUUUUGGAUUUGGUUUCAUUUGAGAAAAUGGAGCGUCACCUUUAUACAUUCAGAAAUGCAGCAAAUGCCUCCUAUUUGUGAAUAUUUACAAGUGAAAGAUCCAGAUAACUGAAGGAGAUAACAAUGGUCCAGUUCUUUCAACUCCCAAUAGAUUAGCUGACUGAGGUCAUGACAGUUUAACUGUCCUCGCAAACAACUCAGACUUCAUUGCAUACGCUGCAGAUAUCCUUUGCACACCACUGUUCUUAGGUUCAAAAUUGUCAUCAUCAGGAGCAUUAAUUUCAUCUACAUGAUAGCAGUCAUAAUAUCAGGAUUCAUCAUUAGCACUAAAACUAGGUGCUGUUGUUGUUUUUGUUGUUCAUAAAUUAUGGACCCUGCCAAUGCUGCACAACAUGCUACAUUCAUCAUUUGUAGCAAAUCCAAAAUCAGUACUACAUGUAUCCAGCCAAAUUGGACAAGAAUUCUCACAACCCUGCACCUAGGACAGAAACCUAACUGAACUAUGACUAGCUAACAUAACCCAUAUAGGAACCGUAAUCAAGUUGACCCAUCUACACUGAAAGUAUGCCACACUGCCACAGGUCUCCUGUUGCCACUAUGAACAGCUACAUAGAAACAAUCAAAAGAACAGGAUAAUGGUGCUCAACACCCCUACAGUAUAAAGCCUUUAGUCCUUUACAGAUCGACAGCUUUUGCUACUUAGUUAGGUUGUUAGAGUUUAAGUAGAGGGAAAAAAAAGGUUUGAAAAUGUAACUAUACGAAGUAUGAAUCAUCUGCUAUUUAUUAUUUUGUUCCAGGCUAGAAGCAUCAUCAAUACAAUUCAAACAAAUAUUGUACAUCAAAUGAUUAUGUUUCUAACAAACAACAGCUACCAAAUUGAGAGCAUGUAAGAUACCAAACUUUGCAAAUUUCCAUCAAAGAUGAACUUCAAGUUACAACAAAUUCAGGAAGAAAGACCAUAAAUCACAUUACAUACCAUCAAUCAAUUUCGACCAAGUGGGAGAGAUCGACAAGAAUACGUCUCCUUAAACUUCUUUGUGCUCGAAGAAGUAAAAAUCGAAGCAUAAACUUCCUUAGUAGCAUUAGCCGGGGCUACAUCCACCGCCUUAAACUUCUUCACCGCAGGACCAUUACUCCCACCCUUCACAUUCUCCCCACCAUUUCCAACCUUCCCAUUCCCCUCCACCUUCGCCAAAGCCUUCUCUCCACCCUUCACAUCAAUCCCAUGCUUCGUACCACUCAACCUCGCAGCCUCCACACCCUCCUCCUCCCCAUUUUUCAGCUUCUUCACCUUCUUCACCUUCUUCACCCUCGUUUUCGCCUUCUCAGCCUCCAUCCUCUCCCUCAGCGCCGCGACCUCCUCCUCAUUCCCAUUGAUCACAAUCUUAUCCUCCUCCGAAAACCCCACAUGACACACUAAACACGCCGAGGACUUCACCUCCUUCAACGCCUUCACACUCAACACAUGCCCGCAGCUCCUCAGCGCCAGAAAGUUACUCUUUCCAUUAAACUCCAGCCCCGUAAUCGGGCACUGAAACCUCGGCCCACUAACCGUCGCCUGAGACUCCAUUUCCUUCCCGGAAAUCGAAGCGAAAUGCACAGGGAUCAUGUCCUUCAGCCCCUUAAUGUGUCCGAAAGCCUUCGGCACCUUCUUCCCCAACAAUGCCUCAACCAGAGCCUCCUUGUUAAACACAUUCCCGAUCAAAUCCACGACGCAAGGAUCCUUCAGCGGCUCAUUCGAAAGCGCGCAGUUCAGAAACUUCGAGAGCCUCUGCUCGUAGGGGUCGACCUUGUCGGGCUUCUUCUCCGCGUACAUGUUGAGGUAGCAGUCGCGAGACUCGGCACCGGUGGCGCCGCCAUCGCCGCCGCCGCCGGGGGUUCUGAUUCGGAGAAUUAGGGUUGAAAGAGGGGGGAAUUGGAGAGGGGUGGAGUCGAGUAAGGGUUUGCCGUUGAGGGUGAAGAAGAGGGAGGGGAGGGUUUGGGGGAAAAGAGAGAGCUUGAGGUGGUGGAGAGUUGGGGUUUGGAUUGGGGAUAGGGUUAGGGUUUGGGUUGGGAUUUGGAGGUCUGGCGAUUGGAGAAAGAUUUGGAAGGAUUGGGGAUUGGGAUUCAUCGUGAUGGGUUUGAAUUGGUGGAGGGUUUGUGAGAUUGGGAAUUAGGGUUUUGAAAAGGUUGGGAUUGCUGGGAAUUUGGGGAUUUUAUAUGUUGUGAUUGUCAGAUACAAGGCGAGGUCGGUGGCGCUGCUCGCGCUAUUUUUCUUUUUAUUUAAAGAAGAUAUACGGUAUAGUGGUAUACCAAUGACUAGAAGGACAAAGAUUAGUACUCGUAUCAUCACAAAAUCAGUUUCGCAAAAGACAUGUUUGAAGUUAAAAAAGAUAAAACUAGUCGUAAUCUAGAUUAUGCUCAACAUCACUAGCAAUCUAGCAUCUUAAUAUGUUCGACAUGGUUAAAUAUCAUCACGAACCACGUGAAUCGAUUAGUAAUGAUAUUACAAGAGGUUGUUGUUAAUCGGUUAAUGUUAAACUGCCACAAUUACCUAAAUACAUGACUCAAAUGCUACAAAUGUACAAAGUCGAAUGAAAACACAAAUUCUUUUACCAAAAACUUAAGGGUUGAGGUACGUACAAUUUACUUUUAUGGUCAUAACUAUUUGUUUUAAGGAAAGAGUAAACAACUCAAUCACAAGCUUGAACAUGAAAACAUAACUUGAAAGAAGUAAUGGGGCUUAUGAAAUUCAAAUAUUGUGAACAAAAGCUAGUAUAAAGUCACAUGAUGUGGUAAAGUUGGUCGAGCUAUCAUGUUAAGAGUUAAAAUCCCAACUCUCACCAAAUUUGUGGCCAACAGUUUUGAGGAGACCUCCAGAUUUGUGCGUUUGCGACGAAAAAUUAGUAUGGUUGUAUGACUUUAUUUGGGUACUCUCAUGGACGUCGGUCGGAAUAAUGACAGAGUGGUUGUAUUAUUAAUUUGUUAAUAUAACGCAAAUGAGUAGCUGCUCAUUCUCAAUAAAUAAAUAAAAACAAAAAACAAAAAGCUAAUAUAAAAAAAUAUUUUAAAAAAAAAAAACAGAAUGAAGUGAAGGGUAUGAUAGUAAAUUGACAGUAGGGUUUUAGGGUUCUUCUCGUGAAGUUAUAAGAAGGCGCCCGUCCUACUUCUCCUACACAAAGCCUCACAUUUGUGCCUCCGCCGAACUCCGUCAAGGUCCGCCGUUUUCUAUCUGUCUUCAUCCCGCUAUAGUCUUCCUUUUACUUAACGUUCAUUACUGUAUUUGCUUACAUCUCUGUUUCUGUGAACACUGAAAAAUAUGUAUGAAACUGAGAAACAUGUUUAGGAAUAUUUCAAAGUCUAAACUGUUAAAUCUCAUUGUGAAUAAGGUUUUUGAGCACUAAAGUUAACACGUUCUGGGUUGCUUGUGCUGUCUUCGAACUGGGUGAUGAGUUGGUUGGGAACUAGUAACAAUUUGGAUUAGUAACAUAGAAACUGAGUCAGAAGUCAUUAUUGUUUGUAUUGUUAGAUUGUUGUUGUUAUUAGUAUUAUUGGGUUUCGAUUGUUAAGUUGUUAUGAGGACUUUACCUCGUAAUGGUUUCAGAGGUGUUUGACAUUGUUUUUUUUGCUGUCAUUCCACUGUGAACAGGUCAUCUGAGAUCAACAAACCGCAAGAUGUCAGGGUACGUGGACAAUUCUUUGUGCUAUUGUUUUCUCAUUAAAUGUAGUUAGGGAAUACAUAAAAUUAUACUUAGUCUUCUUUAUAACAUCGAUUUUAAAAUUGGCAUUGUUAUGUGAGACAUGUGAUGGUUCAGAGUCCUGGUUUGGGAACGACAGAGAAUUAUGAACACUACUUUUAUUUUUUGUGAGAAAAUAAUCAGUUGUGUUAUUAUACCUGCAUCUAGUUUCGGCCUGUCAUUAAAACUAGCGCAUGCUAAGUCUAAAGGGCUAGUUUUGCUCCGACUAUGGUUCUGACAUAGGCCAGUUGUGUUCGUUCUGUAUCUAUGUUUUGGGAUUGCACACAGAAUGGCUUAAUGUUAGUAUUGUCAAUGUAGUUACCUUUCUAAUAUAGGCCUGUUGCUUUUGUUCUUGCUUGGGUCAGUUCAUCAGUUCAGCAGACGGGAUGUUUAAAUGUAGUUUGCUGACUUAUUGUAUUGGUCUGAUAUACGAUAGUUGCUUUUGUUCUGCAUCUAGCAUUCCAUGUUGUCUUAAAGAAGAAAGGAAAACUGGAAUUUUUUGCAAGUUGUGCAAAGUUAUUACAUUCCCUGUCAGUCCUUAAGAUCUGAACUUGCACUUUAGAGCUAUGAUUUCUUUCUUGGUUUCUCAAGUUUGGAUUUCACUGAGUGCUGUUAUAGUUUUUGAUUGAUAUAUGGCAUGCAUUUCUAUGUUUAAUCUAACUCUCUUUCUUUUCAUUGCUUAUACAGAGAUGAAGCUGAGGUUCCUGUUACUGUUGAGCCUGUGGCUGUGGCUGCUGCUCCAGCUCUAGGUGAGCCCAUGGACCUCAUGACAGCAUUGCAACUUGUGCUUAGGAAGUCAUUGGCUCAUGGUGGGCUUACACGGGGUCUACAUGAAGCUGCCAAGGUCAUUGAGAAGCAUGCUGCACAGCUGUGCGUUUUGGCUGAGGACUGCGACCAGGCUGAUUAUGUGAAGCUUGUCAAGUCCCUGUGCGCAGAGCAUAAUGUUAACCUAAUGACAAUUCCUAGCGCCAAAACUCUUGGAGAAUGGUCUGGGGUAAGUGGAAAUAUUCAGUUAAUGCUUUAAAGUACUUGUUUCAUGCAUCCUUAUUUUGCCAUUUUAUGUUCCAGAUUAGUUAUAAUCAAAUGCAUUUAUUUUUCACCUGAUUUUCAUUGCCAAUAGAUCUAUGUGCCAACUUUUAAUUAUUACUUUCCUAGCUUAUGUUGAUUUGGAUUCUCUCUUAUCACAGCUUUGCAAGAUUGAUUCUGAAGGAAAAGCAAGAAAGGUUGUUGGUUGCUCUUGCGUUGUUGUCAAGGUAAUACUACAUUCAUUUGAGUGUGUUAAUUCGGUAUAUAUCCAGUUGUUAUCUCUCCAAGCUAUUUCUCUUUUUGUGGUUUUGUUUACUUACCUUGGGGUCUAUUGUUUUACAGGAUUUUGGUGAAGAUACAGAAGGCCUUCAUGUUGUUCAGGAGUAUGUGAAGUCCCAUUAAACCUGGAAGAGGUUGGAGGUUGGACAUUGAGGCCCUUUUUACUAGGGGUGGUGUUUAUUAGAUAGUCAUGGACCUUCCUUAGUAUUGCAUCUGUCCCAACUUAUAACAUGUUUUUCUGAUUCUCAAACCAUCAUAUUUUGGAGUGAUAAUUUUGUUAUGGAUUCAUUAGUAUUACCAAUCUUUGUUUCCCUUGGUAUCUUGCUCAUCUUUCAUUUCCAAGCAGAUGAUUUGAGUUGGAUAACUGUUCCUAUCCCCUGACUUUAGCACAUCAAUUGUGGUCCAUGGAUUCAUUGCAAUUUGAUUGAUUAGGCAACAUCCUGGAUGGAAUUGUGGCCCUUUGAGUCUGGCUGAAUCUACACCAGGAAUACUUGUGUAGCACAUUAGCUUUCAACUACCCUUCUUGUAGAUAUCAGUAUGGUUCUGUGUUAUCAUGCUUUGGUAUCUGUGAAAUUCAGAACUACAUUUGUAGUAUACCUACUACCCUCCCAAUAAUUUGGGGAAAGGUACCCCAUUUGCAACAUGUUGUAGAAGCUUUCGUUUCAUCCACUGGUCCUAAAGAACACGCUCUUUUGCUGGAUACCACAUCUCAUCCAGUUGGUUGAGCGUUUCAAAAGUGUCACUUGGGUCUAACUUGAAUAUGGUUUGGGCUGUUUAUGACUUAUCAUUUCUUUAUGGGCAUAUUGUCCGUGACAAGAGCUUCUUGUCCUUGUUCGUUUUAACCAACAUAGAACUAUGUGCCUCAAAUCCCCCUUCCAUGGCUCUCGUCUGAACUAUGUGAUGUAAAUUGGGACUGAUGAACCCAGAAACAAUUCUGUUUGUAGGCUUAAAACUCGCUUCGAUUUCGUGACUCUUUCACCGGGCAGUAGAGUCCUGUCAUUGGACCCUUUUAGGAAGUUUAACUGCACUAUGUAUAGGGAGGGUUUAGCAAACCGGUUGGUGCAGCAUUCUUUGAAUGGAAAUGAGCUACUGCUAUUUGCAUAGCUGGUAUUUCACGACCGAAGCAGCGAACUUUGAAACCUACCUAGCCUAAAUUUCAUUUGAAACCUUCAUCCAUGGGAAAUGUUACUGCCUGUAAAAAGGAUCAACGAUUUCAAAACCAUUACCUUAUUCACGAAAUCUAUCUUUCUUGCUCAUGUGAAAUUAACCUUUCUUGCUCAUGAACAUAAUACAUAUUGCUCUCACCUUUACUGCAUUUUUUAUUGUAUCUUAUUGUUCCUUGAUAUGACUUUUACUUUUAUAUAGUCACUAGGUAAAUUAAAAUGAAUUGUGUAAAGUUAAUUGUACGUAAAGGAGAUAUUGGAGGCAAUUAAAAGUCUAUCACCUAAAUUCGAGAGUCAAAGUCAACUCAUCCAUUGUUUUUCAGAUAUUAUUUAACACGUUAUAUCUCAUAUUUUNNNNNNNNNNNNNNNNNNNNUUAAAUUCCGCCUAAAGCUCUCCACAAAGCACGCUCGAUCGAGACCAGUUCACCAAGUUAAGUUACAAAACCAAUUACAAUAAUCUAGGUAAGUUGCAAAACUAUUUACGAUGAUCUAGGUAAAAAGCUAAUCACACCUAAGCCAAAUUUUUUCUUCAGGGCUUAGAAAAGAGAUAGAACAUCUCAUGGCCCUGCUCAGCUUUAGUAAUAGUACUUUUCUCCUUUUCGGCAUAAAAUCUCACCAGGUUUUCAUAUUCACUCUCUCCCUACUUGUAGUUUAUAUGCUUGUUGCUCCUGUAUAGCUUCAAUAAUUAUUCAUGAAUUUCUUGAUGUCAAUAUGAUUAUUACUUUCUUCAUAGUUUUUGAAGUAAUGGGACUCAAUAUUAGGUAGUCGGCAAGCGUGGUUCGUCUACUUCAUAUUUUCCCAGGUGCAGUACAACGACGACUACUGCUACUACCACUGUUCUUCUUAGUCGCUCACGCAAAACAAAUUCGGGUAAGGUCAAAAGUCCUAAUCAUCUGAUAUAACUUUUUCUUACCCUUCUUCAUAAUCAAAAUGGAAAUGAAAACGUUUGCUACUUUGCUAUCAAUUUCUACAGAAAUUCUCUGUAUAUUAUAUGUCUAUUCAAUACUGAUAAAGAUCCUAAGUUAGUCAGAGUUCAACAGCUUACUUCCAUCACUUGGAUUAAUUAAUCAAUGGAGUCGAAUUCUUGUGUUAGUUGCAAUUGGAGGAUGAAAUAUACUGUUGGCUAGUCGCCGAAUAUAAAUACAAAGGAUGGCUCAUAGUUUCUAAGUAUAAUAACCAUGAAGCAGCCCAUCCUUCAACCCCUAAUCUAUGUAUCACAAUCUCUCCAAAAAAAAUCUAUGUAUCACAAAGUGUACCAAAACAACAGUAUUCAUUUAUAUAUAGAGGUUACAGAGUACUAUUACAUGUAACAUAUGAAUAUUGCAAACAAUGGAUACCUAGAAUCCUAAGGCGAGAGACAAAGAUUAAGCUUUACUUCGGAGAGAACAAUGGCAAUGGAUGCAUCAGUGCCACAAAGUUAUCAAAGGCGCAUGCAGUAAUAGCCUACUUGUCAAACUUGGAACCACCUAACCACCUCCCUCCCUUGUCCCAUUUCACUGGGAUCAAGUGUGGCUCACUUUCCAAAAAAAGUGUGGCUCACUUUCCCCUUAUAUAAACAACACCACAGAUACAUAACCUCACAAACCAAAACCCAAACUACACCAAAAAUAAAUACCACCACACACUCAGUCCUCACUCCUCACCUUCACUAUCUCUCUAUAAUUUGACUUGUAAAGCUCAAUUCUUAUAGUUCUGAUCAAGCCUCAAGCAUUUCAAGAGUUCAGUUUUCCUUUGGUUUCUUAAAUCUUUGACAAAGAAAUAUGGCUGGAACUGGUUUGUUUACAGAGAUACUGGAUGGAGAAGCUUACAAGUACUACUCUGAUGGAGAAUGGAAGAAAUCAUCUUCUGGUAAACUUGUUCCCAUCAUCAACCCAACUACAAGAAAGGUUCACUACAAGGUUCAAGGUGAUUACUUCUUUUCCUUUUUGUUUAACCAUGUUUAUGAUUUUUCAUGUUUUGGUUCAUUUUGCAAAGUGAAUUACAAGUACCCUUUAUCUGGUUAAUUGGUUCAGCUUGUACACAAGAAGAGGUUAACAAGGUUAUGGAAUCAUCAAAAACUGCACAGAAAUUAUGGGCCAAGACUCCACUUUGGAAAAGAGCAGAGCUACUUCACAAGGCUGCUUCUAUCCUCAAAGAGCACAAAGCUCCAAUUGCAGAGUGCUUGGUUAAAGAAAUUGCUAAGCCUGCUAAAGAUGCUGUUACAGAGGUGUCCAUAAGCAUAACCUUUAUCUUUUGAUUUUUCAGUGCUUUUUUAUUUUCCUGUGAAAAGUUUGGAUUAAAGUUCGGGUUUUGUGAAGGUUGUGAGGUCUGGAGAUUUGAUCUCUUACACUGCUGAAGAAGGGGUCAGGAUUCUUGGUGAAGGGAAGUUCUUGAUGUCUGAUAGUUUUCCUGGAAAUGAAAGAACCAAGUACUGCCUGACUUCCAAGGUAUAUUAAUUUGUACUUUUUACUAAUUUGGUUUGUGCAGUUUCUCUUUUACUGUUGAGUUAAUGGAAUUUUUCUAGGUAGGUUGUUUGAUGAUGUAAGCCUUUGAAGAAACAAAUGAUGAUAGCCUCAGAAACCAUUUUGUAACAAAAGAUGAUGAUAACGUUUGCCUCUCUCAUCUUUCUUCAAUUUCCCUUCUUGGAAAGAGGGACCCUUCAAAUUCUAGAAUUAAAAUCAUGUUCAAUGUGCGUUAUUUUCUGAAGUUAGAUUAUAACACAGAGUGAUUCUCAUAGCAGUAUAUGAUGAUUAAGUAGCAGCAUAUGCUUUGUAGUAAAUUUACUCUCAUGGCUAAAUGUUCUGUAUCAUUACCUGAAAUUUAGCUGCAUACAACUGAAUUUCCAUUUCAGAUUCCACUUGGUGUGGUUCUAGCCAUUCCUCCUUUUAACUAUCCUGUCAACCUUGCCGUCUCAAAAAUUGCUCCUGCACUGAUUGCUGGAAACUCUCUUGUGCUCAAACCCCCAACUCAGGUAUCAAUUCAAGGAAUUACACAAUUAUCCAGCUGUUCUUGUUAGAAUGUGUUAGGUUGUCUUUGUGAAUCUGCCUUUACAAUGUCGAUGGUGAUCUCUCAUGUUACACCUACUUUGGAUCUAGGGUGCUGUUUCUGCCCUUCAUAUGGUACAUUGUUUCCACUUGGCUGGUUUUCCCAAAGGCCUUAUUAGCUGUGUCACUGGAAAAGGUUCUGAGAUAGGUGACUUCCUUACCAUGCAUCCUGGAGUCAAUUGUAUUAGGUAAAAUCCCAACCUACCAAUGUCUGGAUACUAAAUUAGCUACACCCGUAGUUUGGUUGUCUCAAUACAUAUAGUUUCUUACCGAUCAAUUGCGGUUUCACAGCUUCACUGGUGGUGACACUGGUGUUGCCAUUUCAAAGAAGGCAGGCAUGAUCCCUCUUCAGAUGGAGUUGGGAGGUAAAGAUGCCUGCAUUGUUCUUGAAGAUGCUGACCUUGAUUUGGUGGCCGCAAACAUAAUAAAAGGAGGUUUUUCCUACAGGUGAUUCGAGUCAAUUUUUUCUCUUUUGCUUACAUAUGUAAGCCACCAUGAAAAUGCUGAGUAGUUAGUCUUAACAUGACACACACAUCUUGUAACAGUGGUCAGAGAUGUACUGCUGUCAAGGUUGUGCUGGUAAUGGAAUCUGUUGCGGAUCCCCUGGUGGAGAAAGUGAAGGCCAAGGUGGCAAAGUUAACUGUCGGGCCACCCGAGGAGGACUGUGACAUCACUCCAGUUGUGUCGGAAUCAUCUGCAAACUAUAUUGAAGGGUUGGUUAUGGAUGCAAAACAGAAAGAAGCAACAUUUUGCCAGGAAUACAAAAGAGAAGGGAACCUUAUCUGGCCUUUGUUGUUAGAUAAUGUCAGACCUGAUAUGAGAAUUGCUUGGGAAGAGCCAUUCGGUCCGGUUUUGCCAGUCAUUAGGAUUAGUACCAUUGAAGAAGGUAUCCACCACUGCAAUGCUAGCAAUUUCGGACUACAGGUAAUGCCAUUUUAUAAUAACAUGACAUGAUCUAAUUUAUCAUAACAAUGUUCUUACAUGAGUGAUACAUACAGGGCUGUGUGUUCACCAAAGACAUCAACAAGGCAAUGUUGAUCAGUGAUGCAAUGGAGACAGGAACAGUUCAGAUAAACUCGGCGCCUGCUCGCGGUCCAGAUCACUUUCCAUUUCAGGUGAGCACUUCAGAAUUACACCCACCUAAUUAGUAUAGCUUGCUAACAAGGGCAUCAUAUUAAUACGGAACUUUGUGAUGAAUGACAGGGUAUAAAGGACAGUGGAAUUGGGUCACAGGGAAUCACCAACAGCAUCAACAUGAUGACCAAGAUCAAGACCACUGUAAUCAACUUACCAACCCCUUCUUACACCAUGGGUUAGUAAGUUGUGUUAAAUAAAGAAAGAAUCAUAGUAUUCAGAGCGAGCUAGCUAAUUAAUAAUUUCAUUUAGCAGACCGAUUAGUAAACUGUCUAAGUGUGAAUUUUAGGCUGCAGACUGUAACAUAUUACGAUCUUCUACGACGUAAUGGAGUUGAUGAGAAAGAUGAAUAACUGGGAUAUUCUUUCCAAACCGCAAGCUGUAUCAUGUGUAUUUAGCUCAUGUCAUAGCUCUUGCAAGAAUUUGAGGCUUCUUUUCUGUACUAAAUAGCUUUGUAUGUUACCCAACUAUUUUGAAACAUCUUAAUAAGAAGUUGUGCUACUAUGCCAAGUUUUGAACUAUGUUGCUACUUGCUAAUUUGCAAAAUAGCUAAACCUAAAUAAAUAAAAAAUAACAACCUUUAGGCCAGUACUUAACCUAAAAAGCCCACUUCACACUCACUCGUCUCGGUCCUCACUACUUAAAAAGGGACAAAACUAGUCGUAAUCUAGAUUAUGCUCAACAUCACUAACAGUCUAGCAUUUUAAUAUAUAUGUUCGACAUGGUUAGAUAUGAUUUUUAAUUAAGAUAUUAUCACGAACCAUGUGAAUCAAUUAACAAUGAUAUUAUAAAACGGUUGUUCUUAACCGGUUAAUGUUAGACCGCCACAAUUACCUAAACUGCCCGUCCCGAUUCCGUCUCUAAAAUUCACGGGAUGAGACGGGACUUCGUUUUGAAAAUUGAAGGCCCGGCCCGACCUGUCCCGUUUUGAAAAAACUGAUUCGGGAUCAGGCCUUGUUAGCUGGAUCUAGUUUAGGCCCGGCCCGUCCCGAAUUAAAAAAAAACCUUAAUUGUGUAAGUUAAUCUACACCGUUGGAUUGAUCUGUGCGGUACUUCACCCUAACUCUUUCUCUUUCAUACACGCCUCACUCACUCUCUCUCUCUCUCUCUCUCACCAUCGCCUCACUCAGUCUCUUGCUUUGCUUCUCUCAGACCACCUCUCAGGUUGAAAGAUCCACCUCUCAGGUCCCACUUCUUACCCACAUGUAUGUGUUUAUGUGUUAUCAUACCUGCAUCUAGUUUCAGUCUGUCAUUAAAACCAGCGUGUGCUAAGUUUAAAGGGCUAGUUUUGCUCCGACUAUGGUUUUGACAUAGGCUAGUUGUGUUCGUUGUGUAUCUAUGUUUUGGGAUUGCACACGGAAUGGCUGAAUGUUAGUAUUGUCAAUGUAGUUACCUUUCUAAUAUAGGCGGCCUGUUGCUUUUGUUCUUGCACUUGGGUCAGUUCAUCAGUUCAGCAGACGGGGAUGUCUGAAUGUAGUUUGCUGACCUAUUGUAUUGGUCUGAUAUACGAUAGUUGCUUUUGUUCUGCAUCUAGCAUUCCAUGUUGUCUUAAAGAAGAAAGGAAAACUGGAAUUUUUUGCAAGUUGUGCAAAGUUAUUACAUUCCCUGUCAGUCCUUAAGAUGUGAGCUUGCACUUUAGAGCUAUGAUUUCUUUCUUGGUUUCUCAAGUUUGGAUAUCACGGAGUGCUGUUAUAGUUUUUGAUUGAUAUAUGGCAUGCAUUUCUAUGUUUAAUCUAACUCUCUUUCUUUUCAUUGCUUAUACAGAGAUGAAGCUGAGGUUCCCGGUACUGCUGAGCCUGUGGCUGCUGCUCCAGCUCUAGGUGAGCCCAUGGACCUCAUGACAGCAUUGCAACUUGUGCUUAGGAAGUCAUUGGCUCAUGGUGGGCUUACACGGGGUCAUGAAGCUGCCCAGGUCAUUGAGAAGCAUGCUGCACAGCUGUGUGUUUUGGCUGAGGACUGCGACCAGGCUGAUUAUGUGAAGCUUGUCAAGUCCCUGUGUGCAGAGCAUAAUGUUAACGCAAUGACAAUUCCUAGCGCCAAAACUCUUGGAGAAUGGUCUGGGGUAAGUGGAAAUAUUCAUUUAUUGCUUUAAAGUACUUGUUUCGUGCACCUUAUUUUGCCAUUUUAUGUUCCAGAUUAGUUAUAAACAAAUGCAUUUAUUUUUCACCUGAUUUUCAUUGCCAAUAGAUCUAUGUGCCAACUUUUAAUUAUUACUUUCCUAGCUUAUGUUGAUUUGGAUUCUCUCUUCUCACAGCUUUGCAAGAUUGAUUCUGAAGGAAAAGCAAGAAAGGUUGUUGGCUGCUCUUGCGUUGUUGUCAAAGUAAUACUACAUUCAUUUGAGUGUGUUAAUUCGGUAUACAUCCGGUUGUUAUCUCGCCAAGCUAUUUCUCUUUUGAUGGUUUUGUUUACUUACCUUGGGGUCUAUUGUUUUACUGGAUUUUGGUGAAGAUACAGAAGGCCUUCAUGUUGUUCAGGAGUAUGUGAAGUCCCAUUCAGCAGUCAUCUCUUUGUUUAAACAAAAUUUAUAUGAAAAUGCCACUGAAGAUGUAGUCAUUUCAUAUCCUACUUCAACAGAGACCCUAGGUCGUGGCAUUGACAUUGUGAAGGCUGGUUGGUUAUUUCUUUUUUAGUUCGUUUAAAUUCUUUAUAAUGGCACACUUGUUACUUACCCCUUUCAAUUAUUUUUGCAGUAAAUCAUUGUGACGAAGAUGAAAAGUUGAAGAAGUUAAAUGUGGAACUGGGUAAUGAAGCAUAUGAUACAGUGAUAACUGCACUGUUGGAAAUGAAAGAGUAUAAUCCGUUUGGUAGAUACAAGGUAGAAGAGCUAUGGAAUUUCCAACAAGAUAGGAAGGCAUCAUUGAUGGAGGGAGUCCAAUAUCUUCUUAAGCAACUUGAUUUGGUCAACACUAACAAGUGACAAAGAAACUGAAGCAUGGAUUAACACAGAGGUCGUCAUAGUAUUCAUCCUUGUAGUAGUUUCUUUUCUGUCUCUGUGAAGUUCAUAUGAAUUGAUGAUAUGCUAGCAAUCAUGUAAGUUAUUAACCUCUCCUUUUAAUUAUUUUUGCAGGGAACAAACAUCACUUUGUGUUUGACAAAGUUUUUGAUCAUGAGGCAACACAACAAGAUGUUUAUGUAGAAAUAACGCAACUUGUACAAAGUGUACUUGAUGGAUACAAAAGACAUGAAGACUAUUGAGGCAUAUUCUUCACUGGACAUUGAACACGUUUGUAAGUUGAUUCAACGCCAUGAAGAGUGUUAAGCUCUGCCAAAGAGUUUCUUAAUUUGGAGUUGUCAGGCCUUGAUUAGGGGCUUAGAGACUUGAAGGCCACUGAAAAGGAAGUUAUUGAGGCAGUAAAGAGAGGCCAGCAGCUGCGCAAAGAUUACGAAACCGCAAAGAGCCGCCUUGAAAAGAAAAUCACCCAAUCAAAGGAUUCUCUUCAGCAUCAAAACAAGCUAGAUGAAGAACUUAAUCAUGCAAGGAUUAAAGCUGGAGAGCAAAACUCGACAAGGAGAGCUUAAAGAGCUACUGGAUUCUUUGAAGUCGUUUGGGCAGAGUAGCCCAGCUGGUAGAACUUUAGGCUUAGGCUUCUGAUUUGUUUUGCUCUUCCCUCUCCCAUUUUUGGUGAGUACUUUGGUUCGCCCCCUAAACCCUGGCAGAUGUGUUUAUAUCUUAAAAGUAACAGCAACGAGAAGCGAACCAAAAGAAUUGAGAUGAGAGUCAUGAGACGUGUGUAUAUGAGAUGGAUGAAAUGUUGUUUUAACUUUUAACAAUGUACUAAGGUUAACUUAGAGCGAUGAGAUGCUAGAUUUUAUUAUGGACAGAUCAUUGCACUUAACCAGUAACUCUGUUUCUAUUCACAGAGAACUUUUUUUUUUUUUUUUUCCUUAGAUACAAUACACAAUAAGUUUUGGUGAUUUGAAUAACAAAAUGUUAGACAAUGUUGCAAAUUAAUUAGCACGAUAUGCUCUUUCUUGUUAUUUAGUUUACGCUAUAGAAUUAGAUGCGAAAUCGAUAUCAUCAUCUGUUAGGAUUAAGUUGGCUUAUUUCAUUUUGGGGUGAUUGAUUGAUUGAUGAAAGGGUUCGACUUUGGAAUAUAUUUAGCAAUAACAAUAUAUGCAGCAUUUGGUUGGUCGUAUACAACUGACCUUGUUUCUUUUCUUUUCUUUUCUGGUGAAACAUCUUAUGCUAUGUGAUUCCAAGUUCACGUUAUCAUUUUCAAAAAUGAUUCUUACAGGACUGUGCUUCAAUAUAGCUUAAUUAGGAACUUGGGAUUAUGUACAUAAUUUGACACGUACAUGCAAGCCGGAUAAAAUGUCUUUUUAAGGAACAAAAACAAGAUAAUCAUGUUUAAUUUCAAGAUUGCAUUGGUAUUAGUUGUAAAGAGAGACCUUAUGACCUGAAUAUCAAAAAGCGGAGAUGUGAUUGGUGAAAGACAAGGACAUAUGCCUACAUCUUUAGUUCUCCAAGUUAAUUUAGUUGGAUUUUACUAAAAUUGUUUUAAAAUAUUAUUCGUUUGUCUCGUUUUUUUUUUGUUUGUCACAACGAUAUAUAUAUUUUAAGUUAUUUGUCUUUAAAUUACUAUUUUUUUGUAAGCAUAUGCAUAGUUUCUUUAUAUAUAUAUAUAUAUAUGUUUAGACAUCGACAGAACAUACGAUAAUUACAAUUCUUAGCUUAUACUUACAAAAACACAAAUUAAUUCUUACUCCCCAUUCUCAACGCGUAAAACUAACGAGUAUAAUUUCAUAUAUAAUGCUAAAACACUAAAACAAGAUGAACAUCGAAUACUAACAGAUUUCAAUGUCCCUCUCGUUGUGGUUAGAAUCGUUCCGUGAUUAAGAUUCCUAUAGUUUCAUAGCUGGGUACAUUUAGUCGUACGUGAUUUGAUACAGUGAACUUGGCUAGCUCAGCAUCAACCAAAUUAACAACUCCGUCGAUCCCAAAAUGAGAGAUCGUCCACGAUAUAUAGCUAGCUGUUUCAAUCGAACACAUCUCACUUCUGUAUAUCUGAGUGUUAAAUUCAAGAUCAUAUAUAUAUUCCACUGCUACUUGGUCGUGAUUUCAGCUAGCAAAGUUUGAGCAUAUGAUUUGUUGAAAUUCUGAAACCCAGUUAAACAAUGUAUAUAAUCAUUCUGGUAAUCUUUCAAAAUAUUCAGACUCUAGCUAGUAUAAUAUUCAGACAUGUUCUCUGGAUUCCACAAGAUAUGUUUCUCACUCUUGUAUUCUAAUACCAAUGGAAACCGAUGUGAAAGACAUUAAGUAACUAAGUAACAUAGAUAUUCAGGAAACAAAUUGUUAUUGAGUAGCAUUUCACUACACGUCUACAUCAGAAUGCGUAUCAUUUGGGAAUGCAAUAGAGUCUACGAUAAUGUCACUUUUCAAGUGUCAAAAGUAUUACAAAUUAUGAAUCCAAACUCAAAAUAAUGCGGUCGUUAACUUAAGCAGAGUGAAAUGUGCACACUAUAAAUUACAAUCUACACACCAUAUCCUACAUUUUUAUAAUGAAAUAUCUAAACUAUUUAUGUUUUAAUUUCUUCAAGUUGUCAAUGGUAUGGACAGUUUGAACAUUUUCUUGUAAAAAAGUGAAGUAUGAUGUGUGGAUUGUAAUUUAACGUAUGUAAAUUUCACUCUCUUAACUUAAUAUAUACAAAUAUUUCAUCAUUUCAAUAUAUGUUGAAAUUGUUGAUACAAUAACGAUAUUAAUUAGAAAAUGUAUGAGAAAUGAAGAGUAGUGAGUUUAUUGCAUAAUGGGGUUUAAGGGAUAUUUGCAUAAACGUAUAUGCAUAUUUGAAUCGACAUCGAUCUGACUUCUUUGUUUAUUGGUUUUAUAAAUAAAAAUAGCGUUCGGUAAUAAUUUUACUUUUAACAUCAAAUAUCACCGUACACAUCAAAACAUAUGAAAGAAGAUAAGACUAGUCUAAUAAAAAAAAACCACAUUAUGAAUUUGGUGUUGAUAUUAUUGUUUUUUUAGGGAACUGUUUGGAACUUUGGAUAAGACAGAAUUUAAGCAGUUAGGUUCAAGUUUAAAACUUCAAACCAAGCUUAAACAACUUAAACCACUUUUAGUAAAAAGGUAACGCGCGUCCAGCACAACACGGUGGUCGUACUCAACACAGUAACACAACCCCUCGCAAUCAGUUAACCCUUAGACUAGUCUCCUCCUAACUAGUCUCACCAACCAAAGGCCCUGAUCAUGACACACUCAGAUUAUAUAAGGGACUCCACACUAAGCCUGUGUGCCCCAGCCACACCAUAACAAAACCCCUCCCUUCUAUUUAACCCAGCUCCAAAACACAACACAAAUUUAAGAAACCCAGAAAACAAAACCGUAACAGUUCAGUUCAGGACUUGAGGUCAGUCUGUGAGAAUUGAAAUGAACUCUCUCCUAAACCCACAACAACAACAACAGAUCAACACCACCGCCUCCUCCGCCGUCCAAGACCUCCAGCUCCACCACCACCACCACCGCCUCCACAUGAAUAACCAAACGACGCCGUUCGACUCCUCCCACGACGACUUCCUCGAGCAAAUGCUCUCCACUCUCGGAAACCCCUCCUCCUGCUCCUCCUGGGCCGACGAAACCCCUCCCCUUCCUCCUCCGCCGCACUCCUCAAACGACAACAGCAACAAUGUCGUUUUCUCCUACGACGACUCCUCCAACCUCGCCUCCAAGUUCCGCAGCCACCAGAUCAGCGCCGGCGCCGCCGCUGCCUCCAAAUCCUCCCCGAAUGCCUCGGCGGCUGCCGCCGCCGCCAUGAUGCUCCAGCACCAGCUCAUGAUGUCCCGCGGCUCCUCCGACUCCGGCUACGCUCCGAUGGGGCUCGCCUUGGGCAGCAACGGCGAGUUUGACCGCUCGCAUAACGACGUUGACGGCUCGUCGUUUAAAUCUCCUAACCAGGUCAGUUUGUCAGCUUCUUAAUCUCAGAAACCGGAUGGCAUUAAUGUAAAUAAUUCUACAAUAACGGCGGCGGCUUUUUACAGGGCGGCGGUGACGGCGGUUCUUCUGUUCAGGCCUUGUUUAAUGGCUUUACUGGAUCUCUGUCUCCGAACCAGCCUCAGCAUUUUCACCACCCUCAGGUAUUUUUAAUCACAAUUCUCAUCAUUCUUUUUCUCUCUAAUUAAUCAUGAUUAGUUUCUAAUGACGUUUUGAUUAGGGUGGUGCGCUUCAAGCUCAGAACUAUGGAGCUCAAGCACAAGGCAUGACACAACCUCCGGCGAGCGGCUCAGCCGGGGCCACGGCUGCGCAACCCAGGCCUAGAGUCAGGGCCAGGCGAGGUCAAGCCACUGACCCACACUCCAUUGCUGAAAGAGUAAGUUAUGGGAAUCGGAAUAAUUAAUAGUGUUUCGAAUCAUUGAAACUUUGCGAUCAGAUAAUAACAAAAUUAGUUAGUCACGAAGCACUAGCAUUUGUUUUCUGUUUUACAUUUUUGUUCGUAUUAGCUUGUAUUUGUCUGAAAACGGAUAUUGUUGCAGUUACGAAGAGAGAGAAUUGCAGAGAGAAUGAAGGCCCUGCAGGAGCUGGUUCCAAAUGCCAACAAGGUAAAAUUAAAAUUCGUUUAAUUAUUCAUUUCCCGAUCAUACUUUGUAGUUAAUUAGUUGAUUAAAGAGCAUAAUUAUGGGUCAUCAUCAAUAUUAUUUGUUUAAAAAUUUUGAGAAAUGAAGCUCCUCAGUUUCCACCUCCCCAGUGGGAAACCUCCGUAUCUGUAACUGCAGAUAAUAAUUCAUGAAAUAUCAUUUUGUUUUUAGAGUUUAGGGGACAAGUGUCAGAUAUCUAAUAAGGGUCAUUUUAUUAUAAGAAGCCGGAAAUAGCAAAGUUGGUCCCGUACGACUCUAAUUGCUUUCCUAAGUAUACCUGGAAUUUCUUAAUAAAUUGGGUAAUCAUAGUGUACAAUACUUCUACCAAGAUUAAGUACCUUGAUAUAAGCACUUCUUAUUUCUUCUUUUUCAAGAUGAUAUGAUGUUGUUAAUUAAAUAAAAUUUUGGAUGUGGGUUUUUGGAAUGACAGACAGAUAAGGCUUCAAUGCUGGAUGAGAUCAUCGACUAUGUAAAGUUCCUGCAGCUCCAAGUCAAGGUAAUUUAGAUGCUUUGCUCUCUUCCUUCCUCUAAUUAUUGGUUCUGCUUAAUCCUUUUGAUUAUCUUUAAUCCAAGACCCUCUUUCUGAUAGCUUAAACUAAAGAAAAGGAAGGAUUCCCUGGUUGACAUUGUUUGUUUGGAUAUGAUAAUCAAGUAAAGAAUUAGCCUAUGAAUUGUAAAGUGCGAUCAAUGUAUGGGGAAUAUUAAUUUUCUCUCUGUCACUUGUAGUAUAUAUAUUUACUGGUUUUAUGCUCUCUUUUUGGGUUCAACAGGUUCUGAGCAUGAGCAGGCUGGGUGGUGCUGGUGCUGUUGCUCCCCUCGUAGCUGAUAUGUCCUCUGAGGUAAAAUCAACAAGUUCAAAAACCCUAUCCCCGUAAUCAUCACACACUACAAAAGUACAAAUCAUCUGCAUUUUCGCAUUCAACUAACUUAUAAGAUUGAAAUUUCGGAAUUAGUAUAAAUUAAUGAUUCAAAACUCCGAUAUUUCAAUACUCCGAAACACUAUGCCACGAACCCACGAACUAACUGAACUUUCCACCACAAUGAAACGACAAAACUAAAGCAGGCACGCGUGCCCACUUUAGAGAUUCCUCCUUCUACUCUCUUUUAUGAGAAACUCAGCCUUUUCUCUUUUGGCUUGUCUUUUUCCUUUGCUUUCUUUUUCACACUCCGAAAGUUUAUUUACGAAAAUGUUUUAAUUUCCUUUGGGUGGCUGUAGGGAGGCGGUGACUGUAUCCAGACCAGCGGCAAUGGCGGGACCCGCGGCCGGAGCAACCAAACGGCGUCGUCGAACGACAGCAUGACGGUGACGGAGCACCAGGUGGCCAAGCUCAUGGAAGAGGACAUGGGCUCCGCCAUGCAGUACCUACAAGGCAAAGGCCUCUGCCUCAUGCCUAUUUCCUUGGCCACAGCUAUCUCCACCGCCACGUGUCACACCAGAAACCCACUGAACAACAACAACAACAGCAGCAACAACAACAACCCUAUCAUGGCAUCCAAAGGCGGAGAAGGACCGUCGUCUCCCAGCAUGUCGGUGUUGACCGUCCAGUCAGCCACGAUGGCCAGUAACGGCGGGGUUGACGGUUCCGGUAAAGACGCCGCCUCCGUCUCCAAGCCGUGAGAGUUGCUGAAUCCCCCCUAACGUGACGUGGACCCGAAGCAAAGUCUACUAAAAUAAGGCCCUCUUUUCACCAAACGACGCCGUAUUUGCGUAGACUUUGGCUCCUAUAAAAAGCCUAGCUAACCACCACCUCCCAGAUCCCUAUGAAAAUCCUGUUUUUUUCAUGAUUUUUGGGGUUUCUUUAUCUUUUUAAUUGCUUUUGUUCUUUUGUCGCUUCUUAAUGUGAGCUUGUUUAUCUUUGAUAAUCAUGAUCAUGUUGCUCUAUUAUGAAAUGAUUAGUCUCUAAAUAAUAAUGUGGGAAUUAUUAAAGGAUCAAAAGGAGAUCCAGGAGGGUUUGAGUUUUAUCAAAUUCUAAUAAAAGGAGUCGGCAGCUAACUACAAAAGCUCCUGUGAUAAGAGUUGUUUUAGGUUUUGGCUUUGUUUGCUAAAGUUUGAGUUGGUGGUUAUAGACCAUAUCAAUGCGGAUUAGAUUUCCGGUCAACUCAACGUCUUGUAUUGUUCUUCUUGUUUGUUUUGGAUGAUUGAUUUGGAACACUGGUUUGACUACCUACUCCAUUCACUUGCUUCAGUUGAAGUCCUUGAGGACGAUGACACGGACAAAAGUUUAUCUUGAAUCCAUUAUCUCACAAUCGCAUGCCAAGUUUCGUCUAGGGUAUCUAUACAUCAAGCAGAUUAGUUCGAUUCAGAGGUAAACUAUAUGUAUCAAACCAAGUCUAGUUCAUAUGUCGAUACAAAUUUAUCGACCACCUUUAUUUGCCCAUCAAAGUGCUCAACUUCUUAAUCUAUUGACACAUGUACAUUUUAUUAUCAAGAAUAAAGUUAAAUAAUUUAAAAAGACAUGUGUCAAUAGACUAAGAGGAUAGACAUUUUGUUUGAUUUGUUUGGCAAAUAAAGGUGGUCGCCUGAUCGGCAAAUUUGUAUCCGUUCAUAUGUCGAUACAUUACCGCAGAAUGAGCUAUUGCAUCGCGAAACUAAUCAAAGAUUAGCCAAAUGAAAGAUCGUGUAAGAUGAGCUUAAAACAAUAAUACAUGAAACGCAGAAAAAGAGAAUACACUCGACCAAAAGGAAAGAGUUGCGUUUGAGUAAUGAAAUUCAUAAAGGUGAUGCGUUGCUGUUAUUCAUCUCCAUAGUUGACAAACACAAAGGGAUAGAGAACAUCAUAAUUUAGUGUUCUUUGCUUUAUAAUUUAUAAACUUCAGUAGGCAGCAGACUCUGUGGUCCAGGUCAUACUCCUAUGAAUUUCUAAUCCUCAAAUCGACGACAGGAUGACGUAAGGCCUACCGUCAUCUUCUCUUCCAAGUCCCUGCUCUGCAGGUCAUUCCCAUUGGCAUGUAGAAUGGAAAACUGGAAACAGAAACCAGAAGGGUCUCCGGUAAAAAUGUAGUAGCACUUCUGCAGUUCUGCUAAAUGAUAUUGAGAGAAAGCAAAAAUGCACCUAACAGAUUCAAAAGCACUACGGAAAGGACUUACACAGCUAGAGAUUCCUAUAACAAUGGCUGAAAAUGUAAGAUGAACCUUAUCAAUCAGCAGAAGCAACAAUCCCCUUAAGAUAUUCAAGUCAGAGACACGAAUGCAAGCUCCCGGCCGGCAUUGUGAUUCGGAGGCGAUACUGGCGAGCAUGAACUUCCCAGCUUGAUUCUUUUCCAGAUCUCCAACUCAAUAUCAAAUGCACUUAUUUCACAUGGGAGUAUUAAGAGACAUGUAGUCCACUACUUAUUGUCAAUCCCUUCACAGCAUCAUUGAGGCAUUGACUCUCCUAUUCUAGUUCCAUAUUCUAAAGGUAGAAGAUAUUAUUCUAUAUCUGCCCAUAACUCCCAAUAAGCCAGUCAAAACACAUAAUCAGGGAUCAAGAUAUAAACUAUACCAGGAAGCUGUUAGUUUGGACUUCACUAAUCAGUUCAUAUAUAAUAAAACUCUGUAUGAAAUAUAAAAUGGGGGCAUUGAAUAUUGUUGAUGCAUCAUUUUCCAAAGUACUGGCAGAAGUUUACUAUCUCUUUUACCUCUAUUUCUAUCUGUCAUGAAGAGACUUUUAUGUAUGAUAGAAAUGCGAUUGCAGCACUGAAACAUACAAUAUUGAUGAAGGCCAAGAAAAAAUAUAUAUGAAUGUCAUCUACAGAAAACGUGUCUCAGAACUGACAUUAAUCCUUGAUGUAAAUUUAUAAAAGCAGACUACAACAUCUCUAAGAAGAUCUCAUCUAUGACUAGUAUAGUGAGAAUAAGUUCAGCCAACUCACACUUAAUAUGACACACAUGUGAAACCUUAGACUAUCUGAAGAGCACCUAGAGGAACAAAUCCAGCAUCUAUCAGUAUGAUUCUUUAAAAUUAUGAAUGCACCACCAAUCUUCCUUCCUUCCUUACUCUUCAUCUAAUUGCAACCAUGGUAUUAGCACAUACGUAGCCUCAAUAUUGACCCAGCUUAGGAUCCAAAGGAAGUAUCCAUAGGCAACACAUAACAUAAACAAAUAUGCUAUAUGUACCAAAGCAUAUAUGAACCAACCUAAAGGGGUCUCUGACUCCUUGAAAGCAAACACUAGCAUGGACACAGGGUAUCUUCACACAAUAGCCUAGAUAUAUGGACACAGGGUAUCUUCACACAAGAAAAAAAGCGCAUCAACCACAAAAUUCGUUUUUCAUCCAUUAAUUAUACAAGAAACAUAUCUUAUCAAAUCAAAGUUGUCGUUGUUUCCAAUUAGUUUCUUACUCCAACAAAAUCUGGAGACGACAGUAACAUCUCUGCAAGCCUUAAUUCUGUUAUACAUCAUUUGCUCCAACUGAAUAAUGAAUUCAGCAUGCAGCCAGUAACUGGCCAGGAGGAUUCCUUCCGCCUAGAGGGGCCAAACGAACACCUUAUACCCCUGCCAAAAUGCAUAAACGCACUCACUCCAAUUAUUGCUAAAAUCGUCUCACAAGCAUUAUAUAAGGUGAGCCCCUAGAUUUAGCUUCCACGUAUUGUUCUAUCUAAAGAACACAGCAAUGUUAUGAAAUGUUAAGUGCUGACGUAUACAGCAAUCUUAAAGCAUAAACAGGCCAUCCAUAAAACUAGAAUCGGAAACUAAAUGUAGCUUUUAUACGCUUUUCUAUCCAUCACCAGUAAGUUUUAGACUUAAAAGUAGAUACUUAGUACAAUUACUACAAGACUAUGAUAGGUAAUAAGAGCAAGCACAUUCUGAUUGCUGACCCCAUAAAACCCAAAAAGUUAACAGAAACAGUUUAACUAGUGCUGGGGGGCUUGAAAGUAUAAGGUUGUGGAAGUGACAACGGACCUCUCCUCGAUUCUUUAUCAUCCCAAAAGCCUCUUCAGACUUCUGCUCUUGCAGUGCAGCGCAUCAAAAUGCUUCACCUGUAAAAACAAAACAACCCAAUAACGUCAAACAAAGGGAGCAUAAACCCUGAUGUCAUAAACCCUAAUGCCCAAAAGGGUCAUAAACCCUGAUGCCAAAAAUGAUCAUAAACCCUAAAGAUUGAAGCUUUACCCAAGAAGCACGGCAGUUAUUGACAAACUGAUCCCUGGCGGGUUUGCACUGUGCUGGGUAUAACAGACCUUUGGACCCAAUUUCAGUCUGCUUCUUAUCUGAUUCUUUCUCCAAACAAGCAUAGAACGCGUCUCGAGCCUGAUCGAACCCAUCAAAAUUUCAGAUUGAAUCCACAAAAUUGAAGACUCAAGAUUUGAAAUUUAAAGCAAUUAAACGAAUGAGUGAAUGCAAAGAAGGAUUAUCAAGACCUUAUAGCAAGCUUGUCUUGAAGCAGAGAGCACGUCGGUGUGAACCCCAUCUGGGUUUCGUGUUGCUAAAGCUUCUUUGGCCAUGGCUUCGCUUUGUUUCUUCUGCUAGUGUCUGUGAAAUUGAAACAAUGAAAGGGAGUUGGAGUUGGAGUUGGGUUGGUUGAAGUGAAUAGGCCAAGUUUAGGCCCAAUCAUCACUCGGGGCCCAAGGAGAUAACUUGAGAAACAUUAUUUUCUGUUAUAGCAAGUUUUCGUUGUGUUAAUGUUGAUGGUGUGAUUGGAGAAGGCAACAUUGUGGAUUCAAGUUUUCCUUAACAGUGUCCUAGUUGCUUUGCUCGGGUUUUACAUGCCAAUUUUGUUGUUACAUUUCUCUGCAGAUGUACUGUAAUAUAUGUAUGAAUUUGAAAUGUAAAGUAAAUAAAUAUGGAUUUUCUUACUUCUUCACCUUUAUCAUUUAAACGUGAAAUUAUGUAUUGAUUGAAAUACUUUUAAGUGUAUAUUCACGAUUUUCACAUAAAUAAACAUGUUAUUAAUAAGAGUAUUGAUGGAUUAUAAUAAACUUCUCGCACUUUGUUUCAAUCUGUAUCACUUUCGUUGGACAGUGGAUAGAGACAAUACGGGUUUUGGUAUACUUUGUUCAAUUGUAUCACGAGUUUUCACUCUUUCAUGGUAAUGGAAGAGGAUAUAUUCAGUUUUUCACUCUCCCAUCCAAUUCCAUUAUUCUAUCUCGUUCUCUUAUUUCUGUUUCGAGAAAAAGGUUUGCCUCGAUCUCUAUCUCGUAUCAGUCGUAUGUACAUUAUCAUGUGUCAAUUUCUACUGCACGAAAUGAUGUACAUUAUCCCUUAUUUGCGAUGAUCGUACAAACCAAGUAUUUCACGUAAUUAAUCUUUUGGAAGGAAGAGAUUUUAAUGAGAGCUAAUGUGCAGUUCUUAUCCUGUCUCCUUUAUCAAUAUCAAGUUGACACGUUACCCCUAACCUUCGACAUUAAUUUCGUUCUCGAUCGAUCUCCAUCUCGGAGUCGGAGGCUUCAGCUAUUCCUUUCACUAUGGUGUGGAUGUGAGCUCGAACUGUCUUUCGCACCAAACAGUAGGACUCGUGCAAAGACAAAUCGCAUUUACUACUAUAACUGCACCGGUCAAUGUCAUUUACUAACACUAGUAAUUAGUGAAACAAAGCUUGAUAGGGAUGCAUGGGAAAGAUUAACAUAGUUGAUUACGAAUCAAAGUGAUGGAUUAGCUGCAAACCCUUAGGGCUUAGGUCUAUAUAUACAGUGUUAAAGCGAAAAGGGGUAUUCGAUCAGAUCUGGUUUUCAAACACGGUUUCUUUCUCUCUUUAGUCGAGAGGUAGCAGACGAACAUAUAUAAGAGAGUGAGCUGGGGAAGAUGGUAGAGAGUUCUAAAGGGGCUGACAGAAGAGAGUGAGCUCAGAUUACACAUUUGUAAUGAGUACUAAGUUUAUCAUCUUCCUCAUGCUACAUAUUUGUGUAAUGUGUGCUCACUUCUCUAUCUGUCAGCUGCAGAUCCACUCUUACAUUGGUAGUGGAUUCAUUUUUCAGGUUUCUUGGGUAUAGGUUUCAUCUUUGGUACUGGAUUCAUCUCUUUUCUUUUCACUCCGGUACUGAUUUUAGGUGAAUUGCUCAGAUGAUGAUGAAGUAAAAGUAGAAACAAACCCAGAAGAUAUAUGACACGUUGAUACAUACUUGAUGUAUAUCUAGCUAGGUCUGUCGCUAACAGUCUCUUUGAUCUUAUCCAUAGCAUUUGACAUAUAUAUUUGUACAUAUAUACAUCUCUUUCUCUUUGGUUACAACAGAGGCGUUUUUCUUCGAAGCAACACCUUUUUACCAUCAUAAUAUUGGUUAAUGUAAAGGGGGUUUGUACCAGGUCUCUAGAUUAAUAAUCAGAUUAUGGCCAACGUGUUUUCUUCUCUAAGGGGCUAUUAUAUGGACGGGCUUCUUCAUCCUCCAUCAAAUUGAUUCACGCAUAUAUGUAGGUCUAUGAGUUUUUAGUAUCACAACUAUACUGUACUUAAUAUUGAUUAUGAUUAUCCUUAUUUCUAAAGUCUCAAGCAAAAGUAGUAGCUUCUUUCAAGAAUGAAAUGUGUAGAUUUCACCUUAUUUUCCUGCACUUAACCCUGACUGAUCUUUCCUGCUUUCAAAUUUUCUUCCAAAAUUGAAUUACGUUCAGAUUUUGCUCUUACCAAUGAGAGUUUUGUUUUUGUUCAAAUUUGUUAGGCUUUUGGGAGCGCAGCAGCGAAUGUUUAUCUGUGAUAUGAUCAGAUUGGCAAGGUAACCUUUCGUUCCAACAAAUCCCUUUUGAAUAUGUACUCCACAUUCUACACCCUUUUUCAUUUCUACGCUUAAACUUUUAAUUGAAAAACUUUUUGCUUAAUAAACUGAAACAGGUUUGCCAGAUCUAUCAAGGUAAACUGUUUCAAAACACUGUAAGGUAGUCCAGUGGUUCUUGCCUAGUUGGGUAUGCUCCCUAACUUAGCUAGGUUCGAAUCACGACAUUGUCAAAAGUGGCUAAGGGAUGAGCUGCAAUGUCCUGUUGGCUCUCCGGGCCCCAGCGGAUUAGUCCUUGGGUCUAUGAAGCCUUUAAGAUACCGCGAUCUUGAAUCAAAUAAAUAAUAAGGUAAACCAUUUCAACCGUUGAAAUCUCCUUUGUGUUACUCUUAAUUAUGUUUCAUUUCUAUGGUUGCUGAUGUUUGAAGAUGUGAUCUUUGCAUUAUUUGGUUUGUCUUAGUGGGUUAAUUACCGGCCAAUUAUGAUAAAUGACAAGAGCAUCUGAAAAAUGUAAAGAUAAUAUAUCUCUUUUCUUCCUUAAACAAAAGUAGGAGAGGUCGAUAUUUAAGCAACAACAUGUAAAUUACAGGAAUGUGCAGCUAGCUCUCAUAAUCCACGUUAUUUGCAAAUUCAUAUAAUUUCAGUGAUUAUCUAUAAUUUUUUCUUUUCUUCCUUCCACAAUUGUUAAAGAACAUUUAAAACUGUUUACAUUUCAUGGAUCUUUUAUAUUUCAUGUCUAGCUAUUUGGGUGGUAGACUUGCUUCUCUGGUACUAGAAGUGUCGUAUGGCCGUUGGAGUUCAAAAGCAGUAAAAAAAAAAAAACUCAAAGUUACUGCUUAUAUCGGAAAAAUUCAUAUUUUAGCAAUGCAAAUAGCGUAUAUAUAUGUUGUUAAUUGUUCGUCAAAGAAAACUAUCAUAUAUAUUGAACUUUGAAGUAAUGAAGUUGGUGUAGUCAAAUUACAAAGGUAUAUGUGGGAACAAUGAUACAUCUUAUUGUUGUUUUAUGCAUGUCUCCUCCCAGUUUUUCCAAUUUGUUUGAGUUCACUUAUCGUAUCAUAAGCAGAAUGGUCUGUGUUUUCCUAUAUAUUAUUAUGUUCAAAGCAACAAGACUUCCAGAAGCUUAAAUUUGCAUAGCCAUUGAGACGAUGAGAAUUGUAGACUCACCUAAUUAUUAGAGCACCAUAUAUAAAAUCUUUCUUCCCUGGCCAUCUAUCUGUUGCUCCAAAGCAUUAACAAAGCUUCAUUAGGAUCAAAUAUGGCCUCCUUUGUCACCUUUCAUUAGCUUCAAAAGUGAGAAUCUCCCUUAAAAGAUGAACAAAAGUUGAAACAGAAAGGGUGAGAUGACAUAGAUCCAUUAGGUACAUGCAUGUAAAAACUACUAAAGGUUUCAUGCACAAGAAACUUUGAUAUAUACAUAUAUAAAUGCUCCCAAACCUAUUCUCCAGCAGCUUGAGCAGCUGCUGACGGUGGUCUCCGGCCGAUUCUAGGCUGAGUGCCGCCACAAUCCGCCGGAGAGAUGAGAGGUGAGAGAAGACGGCCAGAGAACCCGAGCAGCAUUGGCAGUCUUACGUUUAGUCCUUUUAGGUUCUAUUUUUUAGUUUUUUUUUUAAAGAUAGGCCUACCAUCUUCCCUAGGCCCAACCCAACUAGAAACCGCCUAGCCCGCAACAAGCUGCUCCUAGCCCACUAAGGCCCAAUUAUCCUUGAACUGCCAUGUCUUGAAAUGUUGAAUACCCUACAGGCCUCUUUUCUUCUCACUCACACCGUCUCACUCACCAAGUUCAACACUAGCAGGAGCUCAAAAACCCAGAAAGCUCCAAUCUUUUCGAAAACCCAGAAAGCUCAAGCCUUUCUCAAGGAACCCAGAAAGCUCAAACCUUUCUCAAAAACCCAGAAAGCUCCAAUCUUUUCGAAAACCCAGAAAGCUCAAACCUUUCUCAAAGAACCCAGAAAGAUUCCAUUUUUAUAAGAAACCCAGAUGAGCAACAAGACGUUGCUGCUGGAGGUUUGCACCAAAAAGGGGUGGGCUGCACCCCAGUACUGUAUCACCAAGCAAGGCCCUGAUCACAUUCCUCAGUUCUCCGCCACCGUUGUCGUUAAUGACGUCAGAUUCGACUCUCAGGGCUUUCUCGGGUCUAAGAAGGAAGCUGAGGCAUCUGCUGCCGGAAUGGCGCUGGAAAAGUUUCUUGGUUAUCAAAGCCAACAGCCCAUCAGCCCAAAUGUCAAGUCUUUCUCUUCCCCAGGUAACAAGGUUUUACAAGGGUUUAAGGUUUUAUUGUUCAAGGAAGUUCUGUAAUCUGUAGUGGAAUUUUGAUUGUUUGAGUUUGAUUGAUGCAGUGAAAGUUGGUCCUUCGCUGAAAGUUGAUAGCAAUCAGACAUGGGUGAGUCUAAUUUUUUUCAUAUUUGAGGUUAAAGUUUCCGACUUUAAGAGUUUAUGUUGAGGGUUUUGCAAGAUUAGCUUACAUUAUUGUUCAUGAUAUGCUGUUGAAUUGGUAUAUUACGAUUUAAUGUACUUGACAACUUUGAGAAUUGGUAUGCUUAGAAGCCUUGUUAGAUAGAGCUCGAGGUUAAUAAGAUGUAGACUUGAUUAAUUGUUUUUGCUUUGCGUCCUGCAAUGCACUGUUCUUUAAUUGUUGAGUGUACAAGGAUUCAGGAUUGUGCAGUGUGUCUUGUUCAUUUAGUAACUCCUCCUUACGAAUUAUAUUUUGGUUGUUUACUUGGCUCGUUUUUGUUAAAAGGUUUUGAGUUAAAGGUUUUGAAGAUUAGCUUACAUUAUUGUUCAUCAUAUGUUGUUAAAUGGGAAUAUUACAAUGAAAUGUACUUGACUGAUAUGCUUAGAGUAUGAUUAAGCCUUGUUAGAUAGAGCUUAAGGUUAAUAAGAUGUAGUGUUGAUUAAUUGUUGUUUGAAUCAGGAUUCAUGGUUGUGCAGUGCUGUCUUGUUUGAUUAGUAACUCCACAUUUUACCAAUGAACUUUUGGUGGUUUACUUAUCUCGUUUUUGCACUACUGUGUCCUGCAAUUUUGACUCUUAAAUGUACUGUUUGUGACUUUAGAGUAGGAAAAAGCCUUCCUAGAUAGAGCUUAAGGUUAAUAAGAUGUUGUGUUGAUUAAUUGUUGUUUAUAUAAGGAUUCCUGGUGCUACUGUAUUUGUAGAGCUUCAGAUUAACUUUUGGUGGUUUACUUAUCUCGAUUUUGUGCUACUGUGUCCUGCAAUUUAGACUCUUAAAUGUACUGUUUGUGACUUUUUUGAUGGGGGAUAAAGUAGUUGUCUUUCUCUUGCAGGGUGACACUAAUAUCACACCGAAGAAGAAGGGUGCAGAUGAAGUGGAGCAGUUGUUGGCUCAGGAACGGAAGGUAUGCUUUGAGUUGUUUGGUUUUACUUGGUGAUUAUGGUUGGAUGAAGUCGCGAGCCUCUGAAACAUGUUUUAUGAUUAACCAGCUAUGGCACAAGGAGAAGCUUCAGCUUGAGCUGAAAAACCUUGAAUUGGCGAAUGCAAUUGAAGUGAAGAGUAAUGAGAUUCAACAAUUUGAGAAGAAACUGCAACAUAUGGUAAUCAGUACUCUGUUGAUGUCAAUGAAUUCUGUAUCUAUUUGUUCGUGGGUAAUCUAGUAGCUAGAAUACGGUUGGCUGACAUACUCUUGGCCAUUAUGUAUAAUAUGAGCAACUGCUGUGCUUUUUCCUUUCAGAAAGAGAUGGCAACAAUGGAGCAGAAGAAAACUGAAAGGAUGUUAUCAUUGGUAGAAGAGAAAAAGGUUUGUUGUCAGUUAUCUUUUUGAAAUUGUCAGAUUUGGAUGAAUGAAUCUCUUUGUUUGUUUCUUUCUUUCUUUUGGCAACUGAUGAAUGAAUCUAUGAAUUCUUAAAUUUGCUUAUUGACUUGCAAUUGCAGGGAGAAAAUGAGAAACUCCAUAUGAAAGUGGCUGAACUGGAAAAGCAACUCCAGGCAGUGAGUGGGGAUAUGGAAGGGGGAAAGAAGAUUAUCGGUCUCUCCGACUCUUUCAGAAAGGAGCAAAGCUAUAAAGAUGAACUUGAGCAGACUCGUAAGGCGUUGAUCAAUGUAUGUCAGUUUGUUCUUUCUAUUUGGGUGGUUUGUCAAAUAUGUUAUUAUUCUAAUAUUAUCUCUAAAAUGUUUCCUUAGCUAUACUUGUAGUUUAUAUUGGAUUAAUUUACUGAUAUUGAUUAGCCUUAAACAUAUUGAAGCCUCUUGGCCUGAUUUGUUGAUUUGCUAAUCUUAAUAUGCUCCGAAUUGAUGCCUUAAACAUAUUGGAAUCUACAGUUCUACAAACUGCCGGGAUUGUUGCUCUUGACAUUUUUACCUACCAAUUUGGAUCUUUGAAAUGUAAUUGUUAUUAUAAUACCUCUAAAAUGUUUCUUUAGCUAUACUUGUAGUUUAUACUGGAUUUGUUUACUGAUUUUGAUAAGCCUCAAACAUACUGGAUUAAUUUACUGGCAUUGUUACCUACCAAUGAGGAUCUCUAAUAUGUGAUUGUUUUAAUAUUAUCUCUAAAAUGUUUCCCUAGCUAUACUUGGAAUUCAUACUGGAUUAAUUUACUGAUAUUGAUAAGCCUUAAACAUAUUGGAGCCUCUUGGCCGGAUUUGUUGAUUUGCUAAUCUUAAUAUGCUCUGAAUUAGUUCGGAAGUUUGGAAGAAUUGUAGUGGAAUUAUAGGGUGUCGUCUGUAUUUUGAGCAAUACGGUGGAAAACCCAAGAAUGUUUGAGUGAUUUUUUCUGUGUUGUGCAUCUUAAGGAGCAUAAUGUAGCUAUCGUUCUUGUGUUAUCUUUGUUAUUUGCAGGUAUUAUGUGAUGGUUCAAAAGAGAAUAUUGGGGUUAAAAGAUUGGGAGAUCUUGAAUGGGAAGCAUUUCAAGUUGCAGCUAAAAGAGAGUAUUUUGUAGAAGAAGAGGUAAAUGGAAGGGCAAAGGAGUUAUGCUCAAUAUGGGAGAAUUACAUUGGAGAUUCUAAUUGGAAGCCAUUCAAGGUCAUCACGGAUAUGAGAGGAAGGAUCAAGGUACAUGUUUCACUGGAUUCUAUGGUUCUAAAAACUGCCAGGAUUGUUGCUCUUGGCAUUGUUACCCACCAUUAUUUCCUUGUACUCUAAACUCUUUUACUUCCCAGUUCUCACUUGGCCAACUGAGUUGCAUUUGUGGGUUGCAGGAAAUCAUUGACGAGGAAGAUGAAAAGUUGAAGAAGUUAAAGGUGGAACUGGGUAAUGAAGCAUACGAUACAGUGAUAACUGCACUGUUGGAAAUGAAGGAGUAUAAUCCGUUUGGUAGAUAUAAGGUAGAGGAGCUAUGGAAUUUCCAACAAGGUAGGAAGGCAUCAUUGAUGGAGGGAGUCCAAUAUCUUCUUAAGCAACUUGAUUUGGUCAACACUAACAAGCGACGAAGAAACUGAAGCAUGGAUUAACACAGAGGUCGUCAGUCUUCAGCCUUGUAGUUGUUUCUUUUCUGUCUAUGAAGUUCAUAUGAAUUGAUGAUCAGGCAUACUAGCACCUCUCCUUGUAAAGAUCAAAUGGAGCUUUUAAAUACUAUAUACACUGAGCUUGUAUAAUUCAGUAUCAAGGUUACCUAAUGCGAGUCCCCAGGUGUUUAGAGAGGCAGCUGGGUUGUUUAGAUACAAUGUUGUAAUGAGAAACCCAUCCCGAUUAUAUUCGGAAUCCAGUUCAGUUUUGUUUGUCUGAAAUGAGUGUUUUUUUUUCUCUGGUUCUGCUCAUGCCUUUUUUUGCAAGAUUUACUCUUCAAUUUCUCAAUAGGAGAAUGACUUGAUUAGUUUGAAAUGGUAUUUAAAAGCUCCAUUUGAUCUUUACAAGGAGAGUUAAUAACUUACAUGAUUGCUAGUAUGCUUGAUCAUCAAUUCAUAUGAACUUCACAGAGACAGAAAAGAAACUACUACGAGGCUGAAGACUAUGACGACCUUUGUGUUAAUCCAUGCUUCAGUUUCUUUUUCGCUUGUUAGUGUUGACCAAAUCAAGUUGCUUAAGAAGAUAUUGGACUCCCUCCAUCAAUGAUGCCUUCCUACCUUGUUGGAAAUUCCAUGGCUCUUAUAUAUCUAAUUUUGUUAAACUUGAACACAGGGUCAUCCUUCUUGGUACACUAUUACAUUCUGCAGGUGCCUCAUAGAAAAUGAAGUAUAUACGUCAACUGGGGAAUGCCUUGUGUGUUACGGUGGAAUAUUCAUUUGAUCUACCAACAGGAUUCAUUGAAAUUGAGACCUCUCUGAUUUCAUCUGAUCUUCUGUGACUUUACUCUAAUUAAGUGACAUACGUAAAUAAGUCCUAAUACAGUUUUCCAAGUGGUUGAAUUAGUUCAAUUUUAGUCAAAUUCAUCUACAAAUGUCAUUUUGGUUUUGCAACCUUUUCUUCUCCCUUACCCACUAGGAAUCAGUCUUGGACUUCCCCAGUAGAAAUUGGAAUGUUCAACCUUUACUAGUUUAGUUAAUUCCCUUACCCAUUCGGAAACUUAAACUUCCCCUUUCCUAUUAGUAAUAGAGAAAAAUGCAGCAACAGUGCCUUUUUACGUUCUUUAUAUAUUACGAGCAUUUGGGUUAGGCUUGAACACAUCAUUUCUGCAGAUCACAGAAUUGAAAGUCCGAGUUAAAAACAAUGCAUCUCAAAGCUAAUAAGCAAGCAGAGAAGUCACUGGGUGGUGGAUGGAGAUUUUUCCAACAAAAAUCCAAACUCCAAAAGGCCUCUUACUACGAGGAGGUUAAAUCGUGGGCAAAUGCCGGGGCAGCAUACAUCAAAUAUGCACACUGCAGAAAAUCGAAGACUACUACUAGUACUGACGGCGAUUAUGAAGCCGCAUUGCGUUAUGUUGAUGCUGCACAAUGCUACAAGAAAGAGGCCAUUGCUUGCUUAGAACAGGCAGCAACUUCCUUUUGUGAAAUGGGAUUGAAUGGUUCUGCUGCUCUACAUUAUCAAGAAAUUGCGGAAAUGUACGAAUCUCUUCUUGACUUUGAGAAGGCUGAAGAGUUCUUUGGAAGGGCAGCUGAGUUGUUCACAGAACCGAUGAGUCGUGACCGCAGCAAAAGGAGAGCUGCUGGAUGUGCUAAUCGGAUUACUGAAUGAAACCUGUCCCGAGUAUAUGUCUUGUGAUUUGUGAAUACAGUUCAGUUUUAUUUGUGUGAAAUUGAAAAUGGUGAUUUUUUUGAUCUACCCAACACUAGUCAUCGAAGUUGAGACCUCUCUAAUUUCGUGUGAUAUUAUGGUGCAACAAAACACUGAAGUGACGUAUAUACGUACAUGUCUACAUGACAAAGUGAUCAUAAAUCCUUAUGUUUUGGCUGUCUUUGUAUCAUCAUAUUACCAUUUGAUCGAACAAACAAAUUAAGCAAUGACAGAUGCGUAAUUCACCUAAUAACUAGAACCUUCAUUUGUUAUGAUGACAAUUUUUCCAUUAUCACACUGUUUCCUGAGGAAAUUGGUUUUGGGACUCAUUGGUUAAUAGGUAUCAAUAGCAUUCAAAAGAAAAUUAAUGCCACAUAUUAACAGGUGGGAAAGAUCAGAAUUGACAAGGCAGCUAACAUGAGAGAGAGAGUCUCAUAUUAUUGAAAGCCAGAGAUAAAACAACUGAAUGAAAACUUGGAAAGUUGAACAGAGAAAUCAGAAAUGUUACCAUACACCGGUUUGUGAAGCAUAUGUUAUACACUGAUAAUCAAGAGAAUGUAUCAGAUAUAUUAGACCAGGUCCAUGUUCUCUUCUACCCAAUUUGCUAAUACAUUAUGCAAGUUUGUCAUAGAUUCCUUGCAUUGCACCUGGGUCUCAUCUCAUAUACAUCCACAAUUUCACCAAAUUAUGAAUGUUAAUUAAUUAACUUAAUUGGUUAUAAUUAGCGGUAAUCAAACCGCGGGCGCCCGCAGUAAUCAUCAACCUUAAGCUCUUAACUCAUACUGUGAAUUGGCAAAUUGGCACAGAAAUGAUUGAAAGUGCUGACUUCAUAUGCAGAACAUUCCCCUUAAUCAUGCAAACAUGAGACAUGAUUUCAAGUUGAAGUUGGUGGUCGAUCACUUAUGAGAUAUUAGUCUGAUUUAACAACUGAGCUACUAAUUAUGCAUCUAUUAGUGACAUUAUUAUAGAAACCAUCAGCUCACCUUCCCCAGUUUCUCCACUAAUGAGAGCAACAGAAGAAACCCAAGAACAAAUGCUGUGUUUUUAUGUCGAAACACAAUGCUUUCCAAGAAGACAGUUCUAUUAGCUAGGGCAUGUGCACCAGAAGAAAAAGACCUUGAAAUAACACCAAAGCCAUGUGCCCCCAUUUGAUAAUUAUGAAUCCUGUGACUCUAAUUUGGCUAUUCUCUCAGUCAUAGUCGGUACUCGGUGUCUUACAUACUCAUUUGUACAUCUUUAUGCAACCUAGUGGUUCAUAGACAAAGACCUCUCUCAACUCUCAACUCUUGAGGCCCCUCCCAUUGUUUUCGUUACAUUAGAUUAGAAAGCAAUAGCAUUAAUUUGGUCGAAAAUUAUACCGCGCACCCGUCAUCUCCACCGUCGAUUUUGACGCAGACUUAACAGAGACUUUUUCGCUCGUUAAAAUCGACGGUGGAGAUGACGGGUGCGCUGAAUAGGCUCUCUAAUUUGGUACAGAUAGUGUCACUUCCUAGCCUCCAUUUGAAUGUGGACUAGUUUUUACCAAUGAAUCUUUGUUUUAACGAUAGUGUGUGGGUUUUUUUUUACGCUGAAUGAUUGAGGAUAUGUGAAUAAAUCGUCUUAUCACUCUAUUUUAUUAAUAAAAGAAAAAAGAAAUAAAAGAGGGGGAUCAAAACCAAACCUCCCUAAACAAAUGAUAAAAUCAAAGGAGUGGUUAUAAUAUGAGUUUGGAUUGGACCGUGAUAGUCUUUCAUGAUCAAGAAACAAGCUUCUCAGUUUUCACUACUACUCUUUUUGCCUUUGAGAUCGAAUCAAGUCGAUUCUACUUCAGAUGAAUCGGGUAAAAAACAAGAACAGAUCAAAAGGUAAAAAGUUUGAUAAACACAACCGAGUCACAAGUAGCAUGAAAAAUCUCCAACAGUGGCUGCAAUGGUGAAGUGGUAGGUCUCUAUCGGCCAUGUUUGUUGAAGAACACACCUUGAAUAUUGGUAACAAAACAAAGGGGUGCAGGACAAUAAUUUAGCUCGCCAAUAUUUGAGUGAUAACGAUGGAAUAUCCAAUCAUGCAUGCAAAGGAUAAUAAAUUGGCUCUCAUCAAUCUUUGCCAUCCUCUCAUCUUUUGAGUACUAAAAUCUCAGAAAAGGAGUGGUUUCUGGCGUGUAUAGCAACCAGAGCAACCUACCCUUUUGCCUGAAACCGAUAUAUCUAGCACAUAAUUCCUAUACCAUAUAUGAGAAAUGAAAUGAAACCUGCAAUUAUCACUUUGUUUCUAGCAAAUUAAAGAGAAGCACAAGGAUUUUCAUAAUUCACAUAAGCACAAAUCACUUCCAGAGUUUCAGUUAUUCACACCAAGAAAACAGAGAAACACAGAAAGCAUAACAAUCAAAAGAGAAUUCAGAGCUUCAAUAGCCUUAAUUGGCUUCAAUUUCACACAACAACAACAACGAUAGUCACAAUUCACAGAAACAUUAACACUAAAACAAUGAGUACUCAAGCAGGGGGGGCCGAAUUGGUCCAGACAAUGUCUUUGAGCGCCGGUCUGAGCUCUUUACUACAGAACUGAUUAUACUCCAGAGUAUCACCAUUGUCUUUCUUCACCUCCACAACCAGAAACGACGGCGUCACAGCGAAAAUCUCCGCCGCAAUAGCCAACUUCCCUUUCCUGCCGCUCGCCUCGCCCUGCAGCCUCACCAUGGAGUCACUCUUCUUCACCUUAAACUUGCCGGCUUUCCCCACCUCCUCCAGCUUCGAUAUGACACUGCUCGCCGACCGCGUCGUCGCGAAUCUCAGCUCCUCUCUCUCCUCCCUCUUCUUCUCCUCAAACAGAGGAGACAAAUCGAACCCUUCAGAGAGCGAAAUGAUAUGAAACGCGUUCAAUGUCUCCAUCUGCUUCGAAGUCUUCUCCGUAGUCUCAUCGAACUCUCGCUCUUUCUUAGACUUCACCGUUUUCGGGAUAGAUUUUUUGAACCAAGACGAAUCCAUGAUCUUCGCAAUGGAGAUUCUGGUACUCGGGUUCGGGUCCAGAAGCUUCGUGAUUAGUCUUCUCGCCUCGGAAGAAAACCACGGCGGACAUUUGAAGUCACCUUUGUAAAUCUUCCUAUACAUGGAGACCAAGUUGUCAUCCUGAAACGGAAGAAACCCGGCGAGCAGGACAUAGAGGAUAACUCCACACGACCAAAGAUCCGCCUUAGCUCCGUCGUAGCCUUUUUUCCCGAUCACCUCCGGCGCCACGUAAGCCGGCGUGCCGCAAGUGGUGUGCAACAGCCCGUCUUGCUUCAAGUGCUCCGAGAAAGCACUCAACCCGAAAUCAGUGACCUUUAAGUCACCGUCUUCAUCUAACAGGAGAUUCUCCGGCUUCAGAUCGCGGUGGUAGACUCCUCGGCUGUGGCAGAAAUCCACGGCGGAGAUCAGCUGCUGGAAAUAGACUCUGGCCACGUCCUCCUUCAGUCUUCCUUUCGCUAUCUUCGCGAAAAGCUCGCCGCCGCGGACGAGAUCCAUGGCGAAGUAGAUCUUGGACUUGCUUGCCAUGACCUCAUGAAGCUCGACGAUGUUGGGGUGCCUCACCAUCCUCAUCACCGAGAUUUCUCUCUUAAUCUGCUCCAUCAUUCCGACCUUGAUCACCUUCUCUUUCCCCACCACCUUCAUCGCCAUGGACUUUCCCGUCUUCAAGUUCCGGGCAUGGUACACCUUCGCGAAGGUUCCAUGUCCCAGCAUCCGGCCCAGCUCGUACUUUCCGUGAAGCAAGGCGGAACCGGCGCUCUUCUCAUUAGCCAUGAUUUUCAAGUGCAACUAGAAAUAUGUAUACAAAGAAACGAAAAAAAAAAAGGGAAAGUGCUCUAAAAGCUAAGGUAACGUAAAGGGGAGAAAGCCGGGGAUGAAGGGGGAGAAUAGUUCACCCGUCUUCAACGUGUUUCCGGUGGCAGUUUCUGCCGCCGAUGCAGCGUUUGGCUCGUAUACACAGCUCAGGCUUUCUCAACGAUGCUCCUCUCAUCUCUCUGCAUUCCCUAAAACCCUUAAUUGAUAUAUGAGAGGUUUUGGAGAUUUUCAGCUUUGGAGAUUUUGGGUUAUGAAUAAAGAACCAGAUGAGCUCUGUUGGUCUUUUUCUUUCUCUCUGGUUUUUGCUUCUGCUUCCGGGUACUCACCGUUUGGGUUAUAUACAACUCUCCAGGUCUCAAAUUACGGUUUUGACACUCAUCGGCUACGGUUCCAUGCUCACCUCAUUCUCGCUACGUGUCGAGAAAUUAAACGUAUUUACGUUGGUCGGGACGUCACGGUUUCGGACACGUGUGAGGUUUCGCAUGGGUUUCGGAUACAGCGCAUGCGGACGAUGGGGUUAUUACGAUAUUACCCCGGUUGGAGAUUUUUGGCUGUGAAAUAUGUGGAUGAAUGAUGAUGAUGAUGAUAUGUAUACUACCAUGUAAGAUAAGCAGUAAAAUAGGGGAGUUGCAUAGGAAUUUCGUAUUUCAAGCGAGCCUAAAAUGGUAAUUACGUUAUGAAAUAUCAAAAGAAUUUUUACGGUCCAUCAAUCGGGUGGUAGACACGUGUGAGUAAGAUUGAUUAAGGGCCUUGGAUGAUUCUUACCAUGGCGGUUUGGUAAGUGACAAGUCAGCAUUGAGAGGUCCUCGAUCAUGCAGAGGGGUGGUGGGGGGGGGGGGGGGGGGGGAGUAUCCUCUGAUCUAGAGGGACAGUGACCUAACAUUUGAUUUCAAAACCCUACAAAUUUUAACAGCCGGUAACAGAAAAAACAAGGAACAAUGAUUUGUACAUUUGUGAAUUUUGGACCGCGAGUUCAUUAUUUGCUAUGUUCAGGAGUCAGGACAACACCAACUGAUUAUGGGAUUUGAGUUUUGUCAUUGAAAUGGUGAUGGUUAUCUUACUAAGUUUAUUGUAUGUGUUUAAUGAACCCGACUUCGGUAAUAAGGCCAGGUUGGUCACCUUAAAGUGACCAUAGCAAUGAACAUAGCACAUGUGUUUAUUUUAAAAGGUUUUGUUGCAUUUUAAAGACAUAAUAUGGAGUUUUAGGUAUUUGACAUGUUUAAUUAUUAUUAUUGUUGACACUUGUUCAUCUUUUAUUGGUGUUUGUCACCCAUAAUUGAUCAUAGCUAGUCACCCAAGUUAUUUUCGUGUUCAAUUUUGAGCUAAAUACACAAUGAUUUGAACGUACGUAUAACCUCACCGUAUAUCAGUAACAAUAAUAAUACAUGAUUAAGAAACGGUACCGGUACAUGAUUGAUUAAGAUCUAUUUCUACGUAUAUAAAUCUUGGUUAUGACUUUACUCUUGUAGUUGUGAAUCUGAUUACGAUGUGGGGUUGUUAUUCUUAUGAAAAACAACAAUGGUGCAUUGCUGACUUGUAGGUAGCUAACCGCUAUUAUGAAUCACUGGAAAGUUGAAACUAAAAACAUGCCCCGGAAAACCACUAGCUAGCUAGAUGAAACUCGAUCAGGAAUGCUAAAGACACAAGAGGAUUGCUCUGCAAUGCCUAUUUGUCUUGUACCAACAAUUUGAAUAUUAAAAACAAAUUUCUGGUAGAUAUAUCUGCCCACUUUAUAUAUAUAUAUUUAUACAUAUAUAUAUAUAACAGUAAUAAAACUGUAGAGCAGACCCCAAUUAUGGAUAUAGUAACAAAGCACUACGUACUGAAAUAAUUUAAGUCAGCUACAGUUCAUCAUACGUGGCUCUUCCUUCUAAGAAGAGUCAAAUAUGAAGGUCCUCCUGAAACAUGCGCAAUAGAGAGGUUCGAGAAAUUGCCAGGAACCUUUGCAUGCAGGUUGGUUAACUUGGGCGGCUGAGCUCAGUGACUGAAGAAGGUUCAGGGAAAGUUGCAGUUGAGCCCGCCCACGGUUUGAACGAUCAUGGCCGGCGGGGACUAUUACUGGGAGGGAGUCGUCACACAGUUCAACAAGAUAUGAGGAUGAUCGAUGAGAAGAAAUGAGUGGGGGAGUGUUCUUCUGGUUCAGGUUGCUUUCAUGCUUUGGUUGAUGGAGAAUAAUUGUAACUGUUUGAUGGAGAGCGGGAGGUAGGAGACACACGAAGACAUGAAUAGGUGACAUAUGCUCUGAGGCAGCUGUGCCUUUGUUUCUCCUGUUUGUUUCUGUUUAACAAGUUGACUCCAAAACCCCACACCAUGCCAUACCAUGCAUACUCCUCUCUAAUUUGUUUUUAAUUCCUGAAAAUGUGUAUUUUGUAGUCGUCUGUCUAUACAUACGUAUAUUCCGCUCUGUUCGACUAAUGAUCGAUGAAAAACCAUACAUAUCAGCAUCUGAAUCAUUUUUUUAUUUAUUUAUGCUAAACGACUAAAUUACAAAGAAUAAAGUCUUGAGCAACAUGCUCCAAAAAGGUCGAAAUUCAAAGCCUGACUAACAACAGCAGAAAAAUUGACCUCCCAACAGCAAAAAUUAGAGAGCUUGUGACCUAGAUUGACAAGUGCAUCAGCAACGUACAAAAUUUGCUUCACGAAACACAUGAUAUAUGAAAAGAGAUGUGAUCAAAGUAAUUGACAAUUAUUCCGAUAUCCUGGAGCAUCUAAGCCGAUUAAACCAUUUGAAUGGUGUAAACAAAGUAACAAACCUAGUUAUUCGAAGGUGCAUGCAUCUUCAAAUGAGUAGUCAGCAACAAGUUGAAUUUGAGAAUUCGAUCAUGUCAUUAUAUUAUUGGAAGUUAAUAAUACCCUUGUAAACCCUACCAAAGCUCCUUAGUUACGUCCAUUGAGAGACAUUCUCUAUGUCUAGGUUGGCGAUCAAUCAUAAUGCAUAUUCAUCAUCAUAUAAUGUACCUAGUUUAGAAUAAUGAAGGGCACGGGAAAUUUAAGAACAAAACCUGAAAUGCAAGAAACUAAGGAAAAUAUAUUAACAAUCAAUUUCUUAACAUUGUAAUGAUACAAGGUUGGUUAGCAAAUAUCUUUCAAGAAAAAUCGUAUACACAGAGGCUUUCGUAUUAUCGUAUAAAUAUAUAAUAUGCAUGCAUUCUUCUUGUUUGCCCAGGCCAGUAGGAACAUCAAAUCACAUCACAUUAUGAGAUUCGUUUCGUUUUGUUUCAUUAUUAUUGAUCGAUCAUUCGAUCUGAUCAAUCAACAUAAUUGAACUACUAGCUGAUAAACAUCUACAGGUAUUUGGGAUCGAUCGAGUUCAAUACUAUCAUGACUAACAAUCCACCGAUCGAUGCAGUCUUUCUUCGAUAUAUCAAUCACAAGCUAAUUAAUUCAAGAAUGAAGCUGGCAAGCUAUAUAGAUACGUACUUGUACCUUACGUAUAAGUAUAUAUACAUAUAUGUAUCAUUGGUAUUGCUUGUGUAACCCCAAGGCCUGCGCGUGAUGCCCUAAUAUUCUUGAUGAAUGAGAUAUUGUUAUUUUUUGAAGAUAAGAUAUGUAACUACAAUUAUGUGUCGCCUAUCUGUUGGACUUUACAUCAUCAUGCAUUAUUUCAAUAAUCGUGUACGUUCACCUUCGGCUUGCUUGGCCAAAGCUGAUGCUUGGGAAUAGCCUAAGCAUAUUAUAUAUUAUCAACUAUAUAUUUAUGUAUGUAUUUAUCUUUAGAAAUCAAUUGUUUGUAGCAACGUGCUUCUUUCUUUUGUAUUUGGCAUUUUGACAGUAAAAGAAAGGUACUGCUUCACUAUAUAGUACAUGUAAAAGGAUCAAUGUUUUCAUGGCGAUUUGGCGAAUGCAAUGCCAACCCUAAUUGAGUACGUAACUGUGCUCUUGCCUCGUCUUAAUUGUCGUCAAUUAUAUGCAGCCUUGAGAAGAGUAUGGGACUAUGAGAUAGAGACCAAGCUAGCAAGUGUGAGCCAUCAUUAUCAUCGUGAGCGACCUUAAAAUGCAUUAUUAAGCCUGAUCAUGAGUCUCUUAAUCAUGUUUUUGGAUCAUUAUUUAGACUUGUCCUUGUAGUCUCCAUUGGAACAGUGGUAGAACAAUUACUGGACAACUACCAUUAAUGCAAGAGAUAUAUAGCUACCUACCUAAAUAUAUAUAUAAGUAACUAAAAAAUACAAUUGCACACACUAAAACAAUCUUUAUGAGGUCAAGAAGAACUGUGAUGCAUAUAUGUGUGAUUAAUUGGAUGCACGAAUAGUAGUUGAACAAUUUGAUACAUUUUAAUUGAUUAAUGGCGUGAAGAACACUUUUCAUGUGCUCGAAAUUGAAUUUGCAUUCGAUCUUGCUUGUUUAUAGGUUUUCAUAUAUAAUUGUUUCAUGAAUCUCAAAAUAAUGGAUGAAUAAUGAGAGAAACAAGCUACAAGAUGAAGCCACGAAAAAAAAGUCAUGCACGGGCUGCUCGAUCAUUAGUUAAAUCUUGACAGCAUCUCCAGCAGCAUUGAUAAAUUAAAAAAAUUAGAGAUUUAUCAAUUUUUAAAUGAACCUUUACUCUAGCAGUAUACUUAAGAAGUUGAUAAAUUUAGAAAUUGAUAGAGAAAAUUGAUAAAUUUAUCAAUCUUUGGGAGACAAUUAACUAAAACUUAGCUAAUGUAUAUAAUUUAGCAAUACUGCUGGAGCAAAAGUUCAAAAAUUGUUAUUUUAAAUUUAAAUGUUGAUAAAUUUAGCAAUAAAUUUAACUCUAUUGCUGGAGAUGCUCCGUAGCUAAAUGAAAAUGUGACAUUAAUUUAGAAGAUGGAGAAGACAAUGGUGUGCGGCAAAUUUGUUUCUAUAUAUCUGGACUAAUUAACGUGGAUUAGUAUUGCUCUCGAUCUAGAAUCUGCAGCCUCCAUGGAUAAGUACUGGUUUGAUUAAGCUUAAUUUGGAUGCCAGUGCCAGACAAAACAAGCUUUUGAUCAACAUCUUAGCUUACCGAAAUAAUUAAGUCUAACAAACCGAGAUCAAUGUGAUAAAAUCGCCCGCCAGUUUUAAAAUCUGAAUUUUCUGGUGCUGAUCGCGCGGGAUAUACAUAAAAAUAGUUUGCUAGUAGUGUCUUGUACUCUUGUGUAUAUUGUUUUAGUUUUGUCUGACGUCCAUGGAUUAUGGAUCUGUGGCGCGCUCAAGCUAGGCAUAUGCAUGUUAUUGUGAGUCCCCAAGUGUUGCUGAUCGUCCAGAAAUCUGAUUUGAAUUGAAUAACAUGUAUGUUAUCUCCUCAUUUGGAAUAUAUGCAUCAAUAACUCGACCAUGAAUAAUUUUGAUCCUCCUGAUCAUCGAUCUGAAUUGAAGCACACUUUAUACAGCUAAUGGUAAAUUGCAGCGGUUUAGGGUUUAGUGACAGGACAGUGAAUGAUUCAAAGAUGGACGUGACAACUGACAACCACAGGGUCCAUAGUAAAACAAGCUGUACGUUCAACACCAAUAAUAAUACAUAUAAAGACAACCAAUUUCAAAUUAUUGUGGCAGUCUUUGGAUCUCCUCCUAGCUAGUUUAAUUUGCAAUAAUCAAGUUGCUAUAUAUUUGAUUCCUCCUACUUACAGGAAAUGAAGAGUUAAACGAUUCAUUAUCGACAAUAUUAUCUUGCUGUUUUGUACACUAGUGUUUCACAAUGCUACACCUGAUCGAUUUUCAAUCCAGGCUAGGGUAACUGCAUGCUUCAUGUACAAAAAGUUCCAGUAGAGAGAGACCCACAUUUCAUCGAAAAAAUUCUAUGCACCAACGUGCAAAUGAUCGAGCCGAGCAAUUAAUAUGCAGUAUUUUGAUAUGGCUAUAUACGUCGCAUUACAUGCAUAUAUACUAAUACCUUUAACAAAAUUAAAACCCAAAAAAAUAGUCUCAAGUAUUUCCAACUAAGGAGAUAAGAACACUAGGUCGAAGAUGAUGUACUCUUAUUUUGGACGACGUUUAAUUUGAUCGGAUCAAAAAUGAAAUUGAAAAGAAGAAAUUUAGGACUAUAAUCUUAUCCUAUAUCACGAUUUGAACACUUACACAUUAAUAGUGCAUGUACAUCUUGAAUUUGCAUGUAAAAUCCGCUCCCAUCAAACUUCAAAACUCCAUCAGCUCAUAUGAAAAAUCUAAUAAACCAGGGUUUGGCUCUCAGAGGCAAACAAGAGAAUGUCAUCCACAAACUUCUGGAUUUUGAAUAGACCACAGCCAAGCAUUCGAAGCAAGUAACUGAUCUCAGACGUGACCUCUAUCUAUAUAUGUCUUUUACUACACACACGCAUAUAUACAAAAUGAAAAAUCAUUUUCGUCGGACGAGACCUCUCUCUGUCUUUUGCAGUUUUGCUACACGUACACACGUAAAUUUUCUUUGCGAAUUCAUAAAAUGUAUCUUACAAAUUUAUAAAUUUCCUAACCCUAGCUAAUUCAUAUCAUAUGAUUGUUAAUUCGUCAUGAGUUACUAAUUCAUAAAGUGGUAGAUACAUGCAUGCACAUUAUCAUUUUCCAAAAAGAUACGCACACUAUAUAUCAUGAUAUUAAGUGGAUGCGUAUAUAAGUAGGAAACACAUUAGCUCAAUAAUAUAUAAAGUUGAUGGCUUUGUAAAGUAAAGCCAUCCAGUGAUGAAUAUGACAUAUGCAAUAACGAAAAUACUUAGUGCCCAAUUUUCCAUAUAAACUUUAAAGGUUAAGAAUCGAAUAGCACUAUGACUUUGAAUCAAGCGGACCAAAAGCGAAGAUACAGAAAGGAUUGCUUCUUCAUAUCCAUCACUCCAUGUUUCUAUAAUAUGAUGGUGUGACAUAAUUGACAUUAUAAAAGGUGUUAAACUGAAAGCUUACUGAUACUCUCUUUGGGACAUCCGAUAAAAUUAGAACAAUAAAGAGAAGAUUAGCAUGGUCCCUGCGUAAGGAUGACACGCAUAAAUUGAGAAAUUGUCAACAUUUUUUUUAAAAAAACUUACUGAUCGAGAUAAUGGUAAUUAAAAUAAAAUAGAAAUGUGAAAUUGAAAAUCAAUCACGCACGCACUUGGUGAGAAUUCUGUAUGGAGGAAUCGAAGGUCACAAGUCACUAUUAAGUAGUCAUUGUUUCUGGAUGCAUGGAGAGAAAUUGUCAUAACAAUAUACCUUAUCUAUGUCCUCGAGUCGUUGUUUUAGAUAAGCUAUCAUAUUUGGCCACUCAAUUACUCAAACUUCCUCUCAUUAUUAUUGAUUUCAAUUCAUCAAGCUACAUGCGAUAUGAUGAUAAAACCUAGCUAAAACCCAUAUAUCUGCUUAACUAUUGGUACUUAGAAGUUAGAAACCUCAAUAAUAUUCUCAAAUUAAGUUGAAACGUUCAAACUCUACACACCCAUAUAUAUCAUCAUCAACCACUAGUACUCUCUUCUGAACUAAUUUGCUUGCCACGUCGAGUAAUAUUACAUCAAUUAUAUGGUAGCUGAUCGAUUUUGACAGCUACAGACUUGUCUAUCCAAUAAGUUUCUGGAGUACUGCAUGGUUGGUCUUCAAAGGUUAUUUGGAAUUUGAAACUUCUUGCUUGCUGGAAUGGAAUGAAUUGGCUUGGACACUUGACUCAGACGACAACAAACUUUCUAUCAGUAAACUUGAGUAGAGAAUGAGAGAAUGCUACAUACAUUUAACUUCUGGGGAAUGAUAAAUAGGGAUAAACCCUAACCCUAUCUAAUCCUUGUCUAGCUCGAAACUACUUGUUUUACUUGAUUAUUAGGAGAAGAUCAAUAGAGGAUCGAUAAACCCUAACCCUGCAUCAUCCGUAUAUAGCCUUAAACAUAGUUCGAUCACUCUCACAAUUAACCUCGAUCUUCUAUAUCUUUUCAUUCUAAUCUUAGUGACAGGAUAAUUGGUCGAAAUCCCAUUCUGUAGUAUUACUGUAUUAGUUUCCGACUUUCAGUGGUUGCCUACUCAUGCAUGACACAAGCAAGUAUGAAUAUUCAGUGGAAAGGAGCGUGAAACUAACUACCAACCGGUCAGUAGUCGCUUAUCACUAGUAUGUAUAUAUAGUAGGAUAACUGAAGUUUUGAGAGCAUUACCAGAAUUAUCAUAUACUUGCAUUAUCCAAUCAAAAACGUACAUCGAAAAGACCGUAGUUUACAAGUCUGUCGGGUCUGUCUAAUGUUCUCUCUUUCGUCUAGGGAGCUCCAUUUUUUCAUGUGCUGGAGAAUGGGGAUCUCCAUCAUCAUAAAGCUUAUAGAGAAUUCAUGUGGUUGUACUUGUGAUAGAUCAUCCUGAAAUGGAAGACAAGUCUAUCACGCAUCGAUCUCUCUGAAUCGUCUUCUACAAUAAUUGUUACGGGAUAUACUAUUUGGCCUCCAUCUCCACGCGUCACUGUAAUGAACGAUGCUCAGUCUCUAGGUGUGUGUGAAAUCGACCUAAUUGUGUUUGCCAAAGCUACAGAGCAUCAUUUGUUCUGUGAGUAGCGACAUGUGUCUCAGCUCUCAAACCAUAAAAACCAAAACCCAAAACCUAACGGUCUUGGCAAUUUCAGUUUCUAGUCACUCCCUUCAUAUAACAUCCCUGUGGAAUGUUUGGUUUGAAUCGUGUAUAUAAGACGGUUUGAUGGGGAUGGGAAACCUAUAUCUCAUUUUUAUGUUUAACUAGCAACAACUUCUUUGGCUGACACUUGUUCGAUCGAUUGAUAAACCUGCUUAUGCUGACACUUGUUCGAAAGAAAUGUCUUAUCACCAUGCUAUAUACUAUUUGGUAAUGCACAAUCCAAGCCACGUUCAUAAUGUCGAUGAGCCAUGUUCUGCUGACACUUGUUCCAAAGAAAUGCCUUAUCACCAUGUUGUAUACUAUUUGGUAAUGCACAAUCUAAGCCGCGUUCAUAAUGUGGAUGAGCUGUGUUUUGGUUAGUUAAAAAAUUUAAUUGACAAUUUUCAUGAUUUUAAACCUCAUUGACAUAUGUAAAAUGUGAGUUAUUAAUAAACAAUUUACUUGUGGGUAUGGAACUUUGGGAUUUACUUUCAAAGCUUUUCAAAGCUCAGAAUUGGUUUAGAGUACCCAUCUAGACUGUUGAAGGCCCAAUGGCCCAAGUAAAGGUUUAGAGUACCCAUCUAGACUGUUGAAGGCCCAAUGGCCCAAGUAAAACUGAACAGAUAUAGCGAAGAAGAAUUGUAAUGCGAACAGAUCAGAGGCUUCUCAUUAUAAGUUCCUGAGACAAAAAGUUGCCAGAAAUAACAUCCACCUGCCUUCUUAACAUAACUUUCUGUUCUUGUUAUCUGACAAAUCAAGCUGUUUCUAUAUACAAAUUCAGAGUAAUCUGCUCUAGUCGAAUCAGCAUCAAAACUCACAUUAGUCAAAACAGAUCUACCAAGAAAUUGUCUCCAACUUAAAAGUUGUCCACAACAAGGGCAUGGUUAGUCAUAUCCUAAAACUAACAAAUCACUCGGUAUGAGUUACCAUUUUUGUUUCAGUCACUGGAAACUUCUCUUCAGCUUGCUUUUGCCACAUAUAAUUUGCUGCUUCAAGCCACCGAGGAUGGACCAGAAAUUUGUUAUGUUUCACUGCCCAGCGAGACUUUUCUGUUCCAGCAUCUAAUGCAACUACAUGGGUCACCGUUGAAUCCACUUCGGUUGAGCAUAUGGCUCCCAGCUGCUCUGCCAUCUUCCACAAGUGAUGACUACUAGCCAGGACUUUUGAAGGAAUUAUACGGCUGAAAACAACUUUGCACCCAUUCAGAACUUCCUUCCUAACAAUUUUCAGAACCUACAACAACACAUGUAUCAUAUGAAUAUAAUUGUCAAUACUGAAAGUAGUAGAAGCAAAGCUCUCCAACAAUAUAUAUCAAACAUAAGAAAGAAAAGAAAAUAGUGAAACUUUAGUUGGUGGAAUAUUCACCUGCCUCACGUCUCUAUCUACAAGAUUGCCUCCCAGAUCCUACAAGAUAGUUGCCAACGGUUUAGUACACAACAACAUCACAUUAUUUAAUCAAUAGAGAAGAGAAGAUGCACUCACAUAAAAGAACAUCUUGUGGAUUCGUUUAAGAAGAUCGAGAACAUUUGCAAGAGCUCCUUCAGGCUCACUCUCGUCACUCUUCAACUCUGAAAGAGACUCACAUGUGAACCCAAAUUGGGCACAACUAGAUCUAAAGAAAUGAUAUCUCUCCAUCAAGAUAAGAUUGUCCUUGUGCUUGAUCCAUGCCUACAACAACAGAUAGCAACAUUGAUAACCAAUUAGAAGAUUAAAAAAGUCACACGUCAUUAAAAUGAUAGCUGGUGUAUCCGAAACAUAAUUCAAUUGUACCAAGUAAUUGGACUUUUUAAGAUAUUCUAUCAUAUCACCCAAGAAAGAAAGAAAGAAAGAACUGUUUCAGACACCAUAUCCAGAGUUUAUUAUAUUGCCAGUGUACUCAAACAUAAAAUUUACCAUAACAAGUUCAUUUUCUAAACAUUUGUUUUGUAAACAUAUAUAUUAUGUUAAAUCAUUAAGCAUAAAGCUAGUUCAAUGAGAGGCAACAUAACUAGGUGGGCUUGACAUGGGUCGAAUGCUAUUCUAUCUAAACAAAUUUGCUCCCUUUAACUGUUUAAACAAAAUUUUAGUGAUGCAAGGAAAAACUUACAUUUUCUGUAUCAUCCAAUAUCAAAACAGCACUUUCUUGCCCAAGCACAAUAUCUAGACCCUUUUGAUGUCUUUGGGUGCCAUCAUCACGCGAUAUCACUCGAUCACCAAAGUACUCUUUUUUGGGAUCAAGCAACUUGGCCAUUUCCAGUGCAUAGGCUCGGUCACCCAUCGUAUAUAUGUACAUUUCAAAUAUUUCACUGGCUUCCUUCAAAAAUGUCCUAAUGAAAGGCCUUAACUUGGUCAUCAUACGCAUAAAAUCCAGUCUGAAGAGGCUGUCUUUCAAAACAUCUGAAAGUAUCAUAUUGCAAGCAAAAUCAAAAGAUUCAGGUAAAUACUCAUUAGGGUAAAUAUACAGGUAUCCAACUAGCAACCAAGAAAUGUGUGAACAUCAAACUGAAGCACUGUGCCACACAAGAAGAAAGACUUCAAAAGAACACAUAAAUACCUGGCAGAGAAUCUGGUGGGCACAUUAAAUAUUCUUCCUUUGCCGUCACAUGAUUCAGCAGGGUGGUAUUUAGUAGUGUAUGAUCAAGAUCAAGUACCAAAUAAAGUUUCUUAUUAUUUAGCGAUUUCUUAAUGUCCGUGUUGCGUAACCGGUCGAUUUCUCCGUCAUUAAGUCUUAAUCCCUGCACAAGCAAAUGUUUCACACUAUAUUACUGCCAAUAUCUGAUAAUGUAAAAUAAGCUACGAAUAAGGUACAAUUCAACUGGAAAUAGAUACAUGGAAUGGGUAGGUAAAUUUCAUUAGUAAAUUCAAUAUAAAGAUCAGGUGCUUAGGAAAUCAAACAAGUCAGACAUGACUGAUACAAAUAACGUAUGCAUCCAAUGGAUAUGUUAGUUUACUAACAAUAAGUUUUUGCUGAACGGUUCAGUAUAUCAUAAAUUACAGGUGACAGCUAAUGGGAAAGAAUAGUGUUUGUACAAACUAAAUUAUGGAAAACCAUAUGCAUGUACACUUCUGAUAAACCAAAGCAUUCUAAAAUCUCAAAUUUCAACUAGUCAUCCAGGGGAAUACCUUGUGUAUGUACCCAAAUGUCACACCAGACUGCUCAAUCAGCCUCUGGCCACAAAGAAAGCACAUAUCUCCAAAAGAUCCAGGAUGUGCACACAAAUCAUCCACUCCAGAUGCUUCUGCACAUAAUUCCAAGAAAUGAUCGUAAACAGGACAAGAGUAACUGUAUCCCCUCAGGUGGAGAAGUACCGUGAUAGAUAUGAUUAUAGUAUCAAAAGCAAUUAAAACUUGAUGUUCAUUAGUUGUAAUAUCCUGUGCCCAAAGCAAUCAAAACUUGAUAAUCAUUAGACAUAAACUCUCAUGCUUUCUGAACCACACACACACAAGCAAAUACAUUCAUUUUUGUGGGGAUGAAUCCCAAACUAAUACCCGAAUACUUUCUACAUUUACUUUUGGAUAGUUUCAAGUCAUGUUUUUCCCAAAUAGUGUGCUCUCAAAGAGAAAGAAAAAAAAAAAUUGUCUUCUUAUGUUUUCUUAAGACUUUUCCUCUAGAACACUAAACUUUUUCAUCACCAUAACUCAAGCAUGGUGAAGAAUAUAUGUUCUAGAACGUAAGGUUCAAAGUGCCACCAAACAACAUUUACAUCAAAACAGACAAGGCAACAGCAAAAGCUUUGCAUACAAAUCAAAACGUCAAGAGAUCAAAAUGUUACCUGAAAUUUCUUCAGAGACUGCUUGCGAAGUCAACGCAUUGGCUUCUUCCAAGAUUUCCACAUUCUCUACCUUCCUCCGUUUUACCCUGCAAUGCAAGUCACAAAUCGUAUCUCAAUUCCUCCAAAUAGAACCUCAACACACACACAUUUACACAAAUUACAACAUCUGAUCAAAACUCACACAGCAUCGGACACGAAAAAACAAAGAGAAUUCACAAACCUGCUCUCACUUUCAACAUCACUGGAUUCACUGCCACCAUCAUCAUCACCGACUGCUGCUUUACAUUCCUCAUCCGGUGACGACUCCGAAGAGCCUGACUCCAGUUCCGUCUCAAGAAAGCCAGCAAAUCCAUCACUGCUGGAAGAGUGCACCGGAGACUCGGCAAGACUCAUCUGAAAUUGCUCAGGCAAUCAAAUACUGAAACACAUUAACAAAUUUUAACCACAAAAUCGACAUAAUAGAAAAAAUAAUCAAGAUUUCUAAUCAGAAACAACAUACAAUGUAGAAUCAACGAGAUUGAAAAAAAACAAACCCUAGAAAUCGAAUUUGAGGUGAGACCAUGAAAUCAAGAAGGAUAGCGAUUAGAAGAAGAAAAAAGGAUGAGGAUGAAGUAGUGAGAGUACCGUGAGAGAGUGUUGGAGAGCAAGACGAUGUCGUUUUGUAAGAGAGAGAUUGGGGGAAGCGCUCGUCAAAUUUUGAAGCUUUGAGAGAGAACACAGAAGAAUUAGGAGGAGACUGAAAGCGGGUCUUUUUGUACCGGACCCCGGAAGAAAAGCGGGUUAGAAUCCAGAGUGAGACGACGUCGUUUUGCGAUAUUUUUUAUUUUCUUUUUGUUAUUUCUCAAAAAAAAAAAAAUUGUGAUCCUAAACUCAUUAAUUGCUAUAUGUAAUCGACAUGAAAUCAUGAGUUAGAACUUGGUUACAUAGAUAAAUUUUGAGAAAUAACCUUGUUUAGGUCCUCAAAUUGAAUUUUAACCUUUUUUUUAUUAGUUGAAAAAUGACCAUACAGAGAGAUCAAAUAUCUUAACUACCCUAUUAAAACCUGCUUUUUACAUUUCUGAAUUUUCACGAGUUACAACUCCGCUCUCCUCAUUAUUCUUCUCAUACUCAUCCAAGGCACUGAUGCAACAAUUUGCAAUAAAACAAUUGUUUCUGAUUAAAUUAAAUUGAAACAACUACAUCCUACACGACCUCGAUAUGGUGAUCUUUACGAGGUCCCAAGCUCUGAAAUUUUAUGGAGCGGGAGAACACAAUUUUUUUCUUUUUAUACAAUAUAUUAGGUUUUAUUUUUACUUGUUUACCGAUCAAGAUAACAAAAGGACGACUAGAGGUGCCUUAAGAUUAUUCCUCAUCUGCUUGAUAAUAAUCUGGGCAUUUGUGAUAUGAUUGUUAUGUGGAGAAACCUGCUAUGAAGGUUACUGAUUUAAUUGGAAAAUCUAUGAAUUUUUUUAAACAAACUAGUGUAUUUGCCAGCCAAAACUAGUCGAGACAGCUAGCUAUGAAAUUCUUGUUAGGAAGAAAUAACUGUUUCGAGUUGUGACUUGUUUAGCUCUCCAUGAUUUGCAAAAAAGGGGAAAACCUGCUUUGUUAUGAUUUAACCUCUUCAUUAUAAACAUAUAUAUGUACUGGUGUAGCAAAUGGAACAAUAUCUGAGAUAUAUGAUGCAAGUGUCUGUUAUAUCAAAGAUGUACAGCAAAUUAUUUUCUAGCUUACUUUUAAGUUGUCUUGUUCAGCUUAAUCAUCAGUAUACAUAUGAGCUUUGCAAGUAUGUUGUCAUCAACAACAUACGAUGGUGCAACUUGAGAGUCUCUUUAUUUUCAUGAGUUUUGGUAGAUGAAUUAUAUAUAAUUCUAAAAAGGGUAAUUUAGACUUUUAGUCUUUUUAUAUGGUUAUUUUUAACUAAUAAAAAAAAAGGUUAAAAAUCAAAUUGAGGACCUAAAACUGGUCAUUUAUCAAAAUUUCUCGGUUACAUACGACUUUGGUGAUUACAAAAUGUAAUACCUUUACUCUGAAGUUUCAAGUUUAAGUUUUCAUGUAGAACUCAAAAUAUAUAAUUGGAGUCGUAAUUGUUAAAAUAGAUUUGUAUUGAGAAAAAUUAUUAGUCACAUACUCACAUUAUGUUUAGGGUAAUUGAGGCACUUCGAUCUCACUUUCAAAACAAAUCGUUACACAUUUCUGAUCUCUUCAUAAUUAUCCUUAUCAUCACCGUCAUCGUCCUCCCUCCCUCAUCUCUUCUCUUCUCUUCUUCUUAAUUUACCAUUUAGUCUUCAAAAUCACAAAAUCAGUUUGUCAAAGCUCAAACAAAUAAACUUGGGUCUAAAAGAAUUUGGGUUUGCACGAGGGUUAAUCAACCAACUGCCAUUUUCAUUCAUAUUUGUAAAAGGUAAAGGUACAUAUGUAAUGUGAAGUAUUAUUGUUCACAAACUCACAAUUUCGUCCUAAGACUUGUUAGUAUGACAGAAUCAACAACGUCCCCAAUAUUUACAUUAGAUCAAGGGACCCAAAAAAGAAGAGGCAAAUGAGCAGAUUAUUUCAUAUGAUAUAUGGGUAUAUACUUCUAGAAUCCUUUCUUUUGUUUAGUGAUAUGAAUAUCAACUGGAGUGGCUCUUUCUUCUCCUUGCCAAGUUUCUUCAGCUCCUUCUUCUGCUGCUACAUCAUCUUCCACCCACUCCUCCGCCACCAACUUCUGCUGAUAGUAUCGGAACGCCACCACCAAUAUGAACGCUGCAACAUUUUGAAUUUCGUUAUCACAUACAUAAUGUAAAUAAACAAUCAAAUGUCUGAAACAUUUACCAGGGUUUGGAUUUGCUUACCUGCCCAAAUUCGCGCUCCGACUGAAGAUAAGUUCCAUACUAGUAGAAAUAUUGCAAUGGUCACUGCUCUCUUGUGGGUGCAGGAGUCCCAAGCAUCCCGAAACCGUCGAACCCAAAAUUUAGCUUCACGUAUUGUACACCAACUCAUUAGGACAUCUGAUAGCUAGAUAUCACUAUAGCUAGCUAGAACAUAUUAGGCAUCAGCUCAUUUCAGCUGUCUUCUCAUCUAUUCACUACUUUACUAAAAGGAAGAAUAGACCUAUUGGGCCAUAUCAUAAACCCAUCAGAUACCCCAUUUAGCAUUGUGGCCUCUCGACCAAUCCCACUCAAAAAUUGAAAAUGACAGGCUGUGAAUUAUAGCCCACAUUGGACGAUAACCAUAGUGAAAUUAUGGUGAGGGGCACUAAGUCACUAACUACUGUUAUUGGGUCAAAAUGAGCAAGGAGAAAAUAGAUGUCAACCCGAUUACUCGGCGAAACUAUCUAGUGGUAAUUAUGUAAAAAUAAAAAUAUUUUACUCAUAAUGGGAAAAUGUGAAGAAACUUUUUAUAUGAAAUUUCACUCGCAUCGGAUACUUUCAUUAUGUAUUACUCGAUCGCCAAUCACUUUAAUGUCAUGCUCGACAAUAGCCUCAAUGUUUUGGACUUUUUUGCUAUACAUAUGUGUAUAAUAUAUAUUAAGGCGUGAGCCGUCCGAUUGUCUUGAAUUUUAAAUUGUUAAACGAUCAGACGGCUCACAUCUUGAUGUAUGUCAUACAAAUGUGUAUAACAGCCGAAUCCUAAUGUUUUAUCUUGUGAUCCGCCGUAAUGUUAAUUUUAGUUCAAUGACCCUACACAUCAUUAAUGUAUGAGGUCAGAUUAACUUGGGCCCCAUCAGAUCCAGACCCAGUCUAAUGAAGCCGUUAUAUCAGUCAAUAAAUAAUGAUGGGCCAACUGGUACUACGUUGGGCCACAUUAGGUAAAAAGAUCAAAGCUGACAGUAAGUUUGUCAAACACAAAGUGCUGCAGCUAACUAUAACAGUGUACAAAUUGAUGCAGUGAAAUUGUGAUAAUGGUAUGCAUGAUGAAGUAACAGAGAAAAUGAUUGCAAGGAAUUUACCGUAGAUUGUUAUUUGGGUAGAAUACAAAGAGCAGACUUUCGGUACGGUAAAAACUCCGAAAAAGCCUGUCAUUGUUAGCACAACCAAGCAGGGGUGUCAGUACUCAGUAGUGUAAAAGUUAAAGAAGGUUCAUACUGGGAGACACAGAGAAUUUUACAGUGUUGUCUCACUGUUUUGGCUUUGGCUGCUGGGAAGAAGCUCCCCAUUAUUACGUUUACUGUUUCACUUUAAUUAUCUUACACUUCUCAAUUAGAGUCGUUAGAUUGAUCAUUAUUUGCGAAAUGUCCUUAAAUACGACUCUAAGAUGCUCUAAAACUUCAGCAAUUUUCAUCUCUAUUCUCAAUUUAAAUAAAAAAAGAGUAAAGAGAAAGUGGAACUUACCUACUUUGGCCAUUGUCCAAAUGGUUAUGGAGCUGCCACACCUGGCCAAAACAAAGAGCAGCACUGCUAACUGCCAAUAUAUACAAUAUGUAUGAUCAUCUGUCUAUAUCCUUUUAAUUUAUUUGCAGAAAAAUAAAUAGAUAAAGAGAAAAUGAAUUUAGAAAAAAGUAAGAGGAAGAAGAAAGAAUCAUACCUUAAUAGUGGUGGCAGGGUCACCAGAAAACAAAGCUUUAAACUUGAGCAGGAACUCAUUCAAGUAAGGCAGGACCAGUUUGAGAAACCAAAUUGCUUCUUCUUCACCCACCACAGUGGUUGCAUUAUCUAUUUCAUAAGCUCCCCUGACAUUAAAAUUUCCAUAAAGCAAGGAAAAGAAUCAGAAAGAGAUCAACUGGGAAAUGUAUGCUAAUAUCAACAUGUUCAUAAUAAUGGCUGCAAAAUCAAGAAAUUUUACCUGCAGAUUAUGGACCUGAAGAGGAAUUUGACAGCCAGAUAAACAAGGCUCAUAUAUGAUAUCACAGAAAUGAAGCUGUAGACCAAGAAUCAAAACAAGUAUUAGAGCAGAAUUUAAGCUGGGAUAGAACAUUUUUCAAAUGCGAUUUUGCUUGCCUGAUAUUUAGAUCCUUCAUGUAGGAGGAUGAUAGUAUCACAAAUGUUCCAAUUCCAAAUAUAAAAACUGAUCUUGAUACAUCUUUCCACAUUACUAAAUCCACUGCAACAACAACAACAAAAAAGCAGAAAAAUUAAUUCUUUGAACAAAAAGAAACUGAUGUAGAAAGUGGAAUUCAAUAAAUUAGGAAUGAGAACUCACCUAAACUUUGCAAUUUGCUAUGUGUUUCUGGGAAGCUAUGGUACUGAUCAUUUGAAGCUGCAUCUAAUUAGUACAAACAGAACAAUCCAGGCUCAAUUCUAAGUAUAAGAAGAAAAAGAAACAUAAUUUACAAGAGAAGAAGAACUUACAUGAUGUAUGUUUAGGGACAUAUGAGUAGACUGCUGCACGUCUCAUAACAGGAGACUGUUUUUUCAGAUCAACGGAGAUGGUUUCUGCCUUUUGAUGAACAUGUUGAAUCUUUUUCACUUCUUGAUUUCUUGAUCUGCGGUCAAAUAAUUGGAACUUCUUAACUUCAUUCACUACCUUCACUUCAUUCACAACCUUCCUCAAUUUCUCUUGAACCGGUGCUCUCUCUUGAACUGGAGCUUUUUCUUGAACUGGUGCUCUCUCUUGAACUGGAGCUUUUUCUUCAACUGGUGGUUUCUCUAGUACUGGUGCAUUGAUUUCCUUGACAUCAACGCUUAUCUUUUCAACUUCAACCUCAAUUUCCUCAUCCACCUCUUCCUCCAAUUCAUCUUCUUCAUCUUCAUCACCAUCUUCAUCAUGAUCCGCAACAUCAUUCACCAAUUCUGCUGAAUCAGAUUUCACCACAUCCACAUUGCUUGGGAUCACCAUUUCUUUGCACACACCAAACUCCUUGCAAUUCUCAUCAGAUUCACACUCUCCAAUCUCCUCCUCAACUGGGAUUUUCUCAAUCACCUCAACACAAUUCUCAACUCCCUCAUCUAAUUCAUCUGGGGAGGCCUUAUUCGACUCUGAUUUCACCUUCCUCAACUGAAUUGCAUUGCUAGAAGAAUCACUCCCCUUUAUUGACUCUGAUUUCACCUUCCUCAACUGACCCAAAUUCUUCUCAGUUCCCUCAUCCUUACCCAAAUCACAGACACUUCUCACCGAUUCAAUCUUUGUCUUCCUACUCCCAACAGGGCUUGAAGCAACACCAUUUUGACUCUCCUUGCUUCCCUCAGAUCUAAUCCUCCUCACAGACCUCACCUGAGUCGGACUGUUCUUGAUCCCAUCAACAGAAACACUCAACUCUUUACACUUCUCAUCAGGACUCUUCAACUCAGAUUUGCCUGUACCAGAAUUCCAUGUCUUUCUCUUGCCAUUGUUGAGAGACUGAUCUCUCUUCAGCUUUGCGCGAGGAGUUAACGUUGUUGCAGCAACACCAUUACUACUACUCUCCUCAGAAUUCUCCUGAUCACCAUUGAAGACCUUAAUUCCACCUCUGACUUCAUCAAGCUUCAUCCUGCUCUCCCACACUGACCCUGCAACCACACUGUUCCCAGUUCUGAGUACUCCUGCUGCAUCUGAUCUCCUUCUACCCACAUCCAUUGCCUUUAUAUUUCUACCUUAUUGGCAGGUGAUUCUUCUCUCUGUUUCACUUUCUAGCUUGCAAUGAGUACAAUGGGACAUAGAGAUAGUAAGAAUAAUUAUGGAAGAGAAAGCUUUAAGCAGAAGAAAUGGCGGUUGGUGGGGGGAAAAGAGUUGGGAUCCCUUUGCCUCCGGAAAAGCAAAGAGAGCAGAGAGUACUGGAAAAUUGUGGUAUUUGUAAGAAGGGAGGGACUCUGAGUCACUAGCUGGACACUGCCGUGGUAAAAAAUAUGUAAUGAUGUUACUGAACUAUUUUCUUUGUUUUUACCAUUUCACAAUUUGAAUUGAAUUAUUUGAUAACUAAUCAAAUUAGACUGCUUAAUUGUUUGCACACACCAAACUAGAUAUAACAUUAGUUUGAUCAAGUUGUAAGUUGUAACGAUAUUAGUACAGUAAUCACACUCGAACGUUUAUAUAUUGAGUGUGGCUUAAGAAAGUAAAAGUGAAAAGGUGAGAUGAACACGUAUAUGGUGUGGUUGAAUGAUUAGGGAUAUAAAGGGCAUGUGUUAAGGAUGAUCUCUUUUGUUUUUUUUUUUUUUUUUUUUUUUUUUUCUUGGGGAGGAUGGCCAGAAUUUGAUUCCCUAAUGUAGCUUUUGUGUUGGAGGAUCUCUAUGAACACCAUGACCGAUGCAAACCAAAAAGUCAUCAACCUCACCAAGCCAGCCUCACAUGCAAAUGGAAGAUCAGAAACGUUUCCUAGCUAGCUUCCUAAUUUCAGAGAGAGGUGGGUUUUGGAAGGUAGCGUGUGGUGAUUUUUCGGAGGUAGUUUCAGGUAAUAAUGGCAAACACCUUCAUCUCCAGCUUUUGUGUUCAAGGUGUUAACGUGAUCCUGUUCAUCUUUGCUCCAUAUAUAUGCAAAGUUUGCUUCUUUUUCUUUUUUCCUUUUUCCCUUUUCUUCUCUAGCUACUUGGAUAAGUAGGGAAAGGCCGAAAGGGAUAUAUGAGUAUUAGGAACCUUCAUAGUUUGCUCAUAUAUAUGACAGUAGCUACUUGAUCUAUCUAUAUCAGCACCUGCGGUUCUAUAUAGAACUAAUUAAGGAUUGACUCUAUUGUCAGCUAUUGCCUAUUAACAUUGUAGUUUGCCCUAAUUAGAUGGGGUUUGUUUUUCUAAAACAAUUUCAUCACCUACAUUAUAAUUGGAAGCUGCAUAUAUGAAAGCCACUAAGUACUUUUGGGAGCUAGGCUGAUAAAAUCAUAGUGCUACUUGAUUAUAAAUUGCUUUGCCAAGCAUAAUUAGAGGUAGGUUAGUAUUAUAUAAGUGUAGCUUUGGUGACAUGGUUUAUUCCCUCUAACUAUCAUAAUGUUGUUAACGCAUGCAGCCUAGCUUAUUACGCAUAAUUGGCACUUCCAAUUAGUACGUGAAAGACGCAUAUGGAUAAACGCAAGCUAUUAUUUUAGCUGAAGAAGAUGCAGAUUUGGAAUCAUGCACUAGAAUAAUGCAAUUGCAUGAUGAUCGGAUUAGUGGCUCUAUAUGUGAAUAAUGUGCACAACUUAUUAGGAGGAUCGAUCAUACAAUGAAUUUAUCUGAAUAAUAGAUUGAAAUCGACAAGGGCCCUGCGAAUGAUUAAUUGGCUUUUGAGGACUGAUGUUGCUCAUCGAGAAGGAUUCCCGAACACACCUAAAAAAAAAAAAAAGAUGAUUCACGUACACAAUGAUUUACGUAAAAUAGAGAUACACAUAUACAGAAGAUUCCUCUGAAUUGUUUGCGAGCACUAGUUAAGUUACAUAAGUUUCUUCCUAAAUAUGGAUCGGAGUUCGAUCAUAACCUUCUUUGGUUUGUGGCAAUUGUAAUAACCUGAUUUAAGAAUCGGCAUGCGAGUCCAAAUCUCAUACGUAGUACGUACGUAGUAGAGAUACACUCAGUCUCAGACCUCAGACGGCGACAAGUUUCAAGUUUCAACUCAAUGUCACCGACGCACCGAUAUCUCUCUCUCUCUCUGCAUCCCUUUCUCUCUCUAGAAAAACACUCACCGACACUACACACUUGUUCAUCUGUUAUUGCUUUGAAGAAUAUAAAAGGUUAAAACUAACGACAAGAAAAGAAAAAGGAAGAGAAGCAUAUAUAUCAUGUGAGUGGAAGAAGCCUAAGCAAAUUUGAAUACAGUAAUACUACUGCAGUGUUUUCAACUCUUGCAUCUAUUAUUCAAUGCAGCAUAUAUAAUUGGGAAAACAGUAAACAUUAAUCAGAGGUCAGCCUCUGGGGAUUUGGUUACAGAAAAAACUAAUGGUAGAAAACCUUGACAGAAUAGUUUUGGGAUUGAAAGAGAGAAGGGAAUCAUAGUUAGCUGAGCUAGCUGUGCAUAACAACAAUAUGAAAUUCUGGGCAGGCUGAGAGGAGCUGCAGUCUUGUAACGUUGAAGGCACGUGAGGUGAUUUGCUCGACGCUCGAGGCACAUAUUGUUCUAACUCCAUAAACAUUAUAUUACUGAGAAUCCCACCACCCAAAACCAGUGUACAUGCCAUCCCUGAUCCGAUAACAACCAGUUUAAUCUUACUCUAUAGUUUUGAAAAUCGGACCAAAACCAAACUUUCAUACCCUGGUUUACUUUCAUCCAUGAGCUAAAAGAAAAAGAAAAUUACCUUUAUCAGCUUUUUCCCUUUCAGGUAAAACUUAAACCAAUUAUGAACACACUUGUAAGUUGCAUUAAACAAAGUAACAGACUGGCGGAUGGUAAAUAGUAUAGUCAUAGUAGAUAACUAGAUAUGGCAUAGCUAGCGUUAAUGACACGACCCACCCCGAAUUUCACCCUGAAACCCAGGUAAGUCGUGCGGGGACCACCUCCAAGGAAAAUUUACUGAAAAGAUUAAGAAAAUCUCCCUUGUAGAUGGACAACCCUAACUCGAAAAUUUCAUAUUACACUUCUGAACAUCACAUAAUAUACAAAAAUUAUAAAGUAUUCAGAGCUACUAAACACAAGCGGAAGCAAGAAAACACGAGUAGGUUGAACAGGUAACCUACUGAUGAAAACUGGCCGAAAGCGGGUGACUAUGCCUCGUCUCCUACUAGAUCCAACCCGAA
RNAcentral lists this long non-coding RNA (82481 nucleotides) under Fragaria vesca (wild strawberry). The record is from RNAcentral. Lineage: Eukaryota; Viridiplantae; Streptophyta; Magnoliopsida; Rosales; Rosaceae.